UAAACUGUCUGAAUAAAGAGUUGAUGGGACAUGUCCCCAACUAACUCCAACUACUGAAAUAAACUGAGAACUAAAAUAUUAAUGAAAUCAUCAUGUCCACGGAAGAUGAGGACUCACUUUUAACUUUGACUGCUGAGACUGGAAUCUACUGCUCGUCUGGAUCUCGUGCCUCUAAACCUAUGGUAUAAGACACCAUAGCGCGAAUGCGUCAGUACUUUAAAUAAACUGGUAUGCAAGUAAGGUAAGCUAAAUGCAUGGGGUUCACAUGCAUGAACAAUAAUAAUUGACUGACUAAUAUGAACGUAAGAAUACAUGCAUGCAUAUUUAACUAUAACUGACAUUGUGAUAGGACUGAAUGCUAAGUUCUGACUACUAAAUUUACUAAUAACAUGGAAUUAUUGAUAUCUGAGGGACUGAUACUAUGUUACUGAUACAUGAAUAACUAUUUCUAAUAGUUCUGAUUAUGAAGAAUUAGUUUGGUUGACUGUGUCUAACAGUCCUGAAGCUGAAUACUGAUAACAUGAGUUCUGAUAACUAAUAUAACUGAAAACAUGAGUGAUUGUGUCUAACAGUCCUAAAUCUGAUGGAACUAGCUGAGUUCCGUACUGUAUCUGAGUAACUGAAUUUGAGAUCAAUCCUAUCUGGCAGGUGAUCUCUAAAUCUGAUGAUACCAUUACUGGUUGACCAUAGUUGAGAUCAGUCCUGCCUAAUGGGUGAUCCCAGAGCCUAUUUAUAAUGAUAAGGAGUGACUAUAUCUGGCAGUCCUAAAUCCAUACACUGAGCUGAAUUGAUUGUAUCUGACGGUCCUGAUUCUAUAACUGAAACUAUUAGAUGUAUUCAUCUAACCAACAUGCCCUAUACUAAGAUAACUGGGGUCCAACGUAUAACCCCAGCUGGAAAGGUGUCAGUACACGCCACUGGUAAAGACAACUGUUGUGGAGUCAGUCCUAAUCUAGUAGGUGAACCCAGGGAUCAGUCCUAUACAUUUAAAUGUGCUAAUGGGUGAUCCCUGAGUAUGUUAGUCCUAUCUAACAGGUGAUAUCUUGUACCUACACUGGCUACGUAGUUCUGGAACUUAGGGAUUGCUUCUAGGGAUCUCAGUCCUAUCUAGCGGGUGAGUCCCCAUCCAUAGGCUUGCUCAAUGCUGAAUCCUACUCCCAUCGGAGAUACACUAAACUGAUUAAUCGAGAUGAACUAAUUAACUGAACUGAACUAAUUGGCUGAACUAAACUGAUUAUCUAAACUGAAAUGAUUAGCUAAACUGAACUAAUACUAGUGGAAUUGCUUGGCGGAGCUAAACAAAAUUUACUGAGUUCCAUUGACUGAUGGAAUGUACUGAGUUCUGAGGACUGACUGAGAAUACUAUAGUUACUGAGAUUCACUAGAAAAACUGAGGUUACUGAGAUUACUGAAUACUGAGAUCACUGAGAUUACUGAACUACUGAGAUUACUGAGAUUUCUGAGAUUUCUUGAGUCACAUAACUGACUGAGUUCUAUGGAUCAUAGCUUGAUUGAGGAGAACGUGAAAACAUGACAUGGCUCUAGGAACAUAGCUAAAUGUUUGGGUACAAGUACCCCCAGGACUCGAUGAGAAGAAAUUGACAUGGCAUGGCUUACUUGAACACAUGACCAACAACACAAUUCAUAAUUCAUAUAUUGAAGCACUUCAUCAAAUAUGUGAUAUGCAUAAACUUGUACAUACAUGGGGAUUUCAUGAUAUCAUACUAGUUCGGCAUUGUUCCUUUAUCUAGGCAUUUAAUCAUACACAUGAUAAGCAUAGCACAUGUAGACAACAUUAUACAACAAUCAAACAUCAUGAUUCAUAUCUAAUUUCAUCAUCCUAGGGUUUAUUUAUAGGUUCACAUGAAUAUACAUCUAUAUAAAUCAAUUCCAUAUAAAAUUGAUCCCUCAACAUGGAUUUGAAUUCAAUUGAUCAUUCUCAACAUAAACAAAACAAACCCUACAUGAAAUUCAUAAAGAAAUCCAUAAACUUAAACUUAGAAAAGAGAUUCUUGGGCUUCAUGGACAAAAGGAGUCCAUGAAUGAACACUACGCAUACCUUAGCUUGUGAUUCUACGAAGUUGACAGAGAGAUUCUUGAAAUUUGACGGUGAAUUCUCUUGGAAUUGAACCUUCUAUGAAAACCCUAGGGCUUGUUCUUGAGAGUUUUUGAGAAUAAUUGAGUAUAAGUUAUUGAAUUAUGACCAAAUAUUGUGUUAUAAGGCUUACAUAGAGUGGGAAAUUGACCCUUUUAACCCUAGGACACGUAUUUGAUUUCUAAGAAAAUUUCUCGAUUAUCAUCCUUGGCGCGACGCACCACUAUCGCACCAAGUCACUAGAAAGUGACAAAUAGGAAAUUACAUGGUGGCGCGAUACGGAGCUAUCGUGUUGCCAACUUAUAUGUGACCUGGAAGUUUUGGACGACGUGCCACUAUCACGGAGCAACACUAGAAAUUGACAAUUGCCAUUUGAGCUAUCUCUGCGAUAUGCUGAAGGCUCAGGUGAUACACUGUCUUACUAAAAAGGCUCUAACUCUUCACCCGAGUGUUGAAUUUGGGAGAAUUUGGUAUCUAUGGAAAGCUUAUUAAAUCUUCCACAUGACAAAAAGUUAAAAUCUUGAAAUACCACGUGUACAAAAGUGAAUUCAUCUUUCAAAAAAAGCUUCUAACAUUCUUGGGAAACUUUUCAAGCUAGGAAAAAUACGGGUUAUUAUAUAUCCAAAGGAAAGGAGAGUGUGACAUUCUUUCUUUAACACUAACUUGUUGGUUGUUUUGUUGUUGUCUUUCUUAGGUACCAUGGACAAUAAUUCUAUCUUGGCCCGUCUUGAAUCUAUCAACUGUGACAUUGAAAGACAAAAAAUGACAGCCCGUCUUGAAGCUGUCCGUCAUAACCUUAAAAGACUAGAAAGGGAGUGGGUGCUGUACAAAGAAGUUAGAAACCAAAUGCCCUAAUCUACACCAAAACCGAUUCCUCCAUUCCAAGCUCUACUUAACCAAAUGCCUCUACCUCUACCAAAUCUAAUUCCUCUAUUCCAAGCUAGACUAAACUAAAACCAACCCGUCCAUGUAGAGAAGGUUGAGAAGAGGGAAAUGAAAGUAACCCUUGAACAAGGAAAGAUCCUCAUGACUCAAGAACAACAAGAGAUACUUUAUCAUCUAAAUGAGUUCUUGGCUAGGAAUACCAACUUCGGGAAAAGAUAUGAAUCAAGAGAGAAGACUUAACAAACUCCCUUAUGAUGAGAGCUUUCCAAAAGGGCAAGUGGGCUGCCAUGAAACACACCAAGGUGAAUACCAUACCUCAUUAGAUCUAUAAGUUAAUAAUGUUAUCUCCUACACUCCUAUAAACUUAGAAUGUUAUGAUGUGGCUAGUAGCAGCCAAGUGGAUAUAGUUGGUAGUUUGCCUAGAAGAGAAUUGCAUGAGUCUUUCUUUUGUGAUACUCUUGGUAUUGCUAGGUUGCAUGAAGAUCAAAUUCUUGUUGUAAUUAUGCAAGCAUUAGUUGAUCCUAUAGAUGAAUAAAUUGAUUCUUCUCAAAAGAAUGAUUUGUGUCCACCUAGUGCUAGCACUUGUAAUGUGAAUAAGUUCCUACUGCCAAGUGAUAAGAGCAUUCACAUACUAAUUGUCCCUGGUGAAAACCAAGGUGAGUCUAUGUUGGCAUGUGAGUUGCCAACAACUAGUGAGGGUGUGUAUAAUGAUCAACUUACUCAUGAAUGUAGUCCACUACCUGAGCAUAUGAAUGGUGUGCUUGAUGAGUAUCAAGUUAGUGAUGAUGUUGAUAGAGUUGAUCAUGAGAUUGGAGAUAAUUCUUUGAGCAUAUCGUGUGAUGAAAGCCUUAUUUUUGCUCAUAAAACUAGUGAAAUUGAAAAUAUUGUUAAGAAUGAUCAAUCAGGUGAAAAUGACCUUGGUUUGCUUGAAUGUUUAGGAAACUAUAUUAGUGAUUGUUCUUGUAAAAAUAGUUUUGAUUAUGAAAUCUUUUAUGCCCAUGGUGGUUUGUAUCUAUAUGAGGAUUGCCCUUAUAAAAGAGGAGUUGAUGCAUGUUUAGAAAUUCUAUAUGCUUCUUCUUUAAGUGUUUCUUAUUUUAAGCAAACCCAUAGUGAAGCUAUUGAAACUAAUAAUUGGGUGCAUUCAUGAGAACACUAUAGUUGAAGUUGACUUGCAAGACACCUUUCUCUACCCUCUUUUUGCUCAUGAUAUUUCCAAUAGUGAUACAGAGGGUAUGCCUAAUUUUGGGGAUGGCACCAUAUGGGAAAGUGAGUAUAGCCGAAACCUAUGUCCUUGGAUACUUCUCCCAUUUGUCCCAGUAACCUCUUAAGAUGUGGAGAUUGUUAUACAUCCAACUUGAUACUUGGUCAAGACGAUAAGCAAGGUUUGGUUGUGAGUGUUGGAAUCCUUCCUUAUGAUGGAAGUCUUUCUUGGGGAUUUACAAUCCACUUGAUAGACCUAAGUUAUGCAUGGGGGGAAUUUCCAACCAAGUUAAGUGUUCACUAAAGAAGGGAGUAAUAAAAGAAACCAAGAGAGUUCACUCUUGAGUGUUUCCAUUCUUGACCAAGGUAUCACUACUUGUAGGUCAAGGAGAGAGUUACCUCUUGAAAAUACUUUAGAUGAAUUCCAUUCAUAUAAUACCCUUCUUUGUGAAUUGGUUGUGAUGGGGGGGGGGGGGGGGGCUUUCUCAAAUGAAGCUUUAUGAUUGGGACCCUUGUAAGACCUCGUAAGAUCCUAGCUCAUUACACCUUACCAUUGAAUGUUAAAGGGGUCCAAGACUUAGAAAAUCUCACUAAGUGUUAAGUCUUAGUAUUCUCCAAAGCCCCUUAAACUUCAAUGAUUUUGUUUUUGACCUUCCCGACUAUAGAACGUUAGUGUCUAUGUUAAUUUAUGAUUGGGGUUGUUGAUAGUUCAUCUCGAAUGAGUUUUAGAUUUUCAAUAUGAGGUUUGAGACCUAUUUGGGAGGUCAAAAUAUAGAGGCUCCGUGAUAUCACCGCGGUAUGUCAAAUAUCACAUCGGUAGGGGCAGUGCAGCACCGUAUAUCACAUCCACAGAGCACCACAGAGUGAGGUAUUUCUCAUCGAUUGGUCUAGUUCAAUUUAAUGAGUUUUGGGUCCAGGAGGGUGUUUAAGUUAUUUUUCUCACUCUAAUUCAGCUAUAACACAGGAUUUACGAUCCUAAAAGCAUUAUUUGUCAUCUUUUACACAAAAUUCACUCAAAAAAAGCAAUUCUCUCUCAAGAAAAAACCCUAGCCCCUUCACAAUUCAAGCUCAAGCCAUGAUUUUUAUAUGUUAUUAUGAGUUAUCUUCAUGAAUCUAUUAUGAAUUAAGAUUACAAAUUAUGUUUACUAUGUGUUUUCAUUGGAAAUAGUCCUUGACACGUUCAAAUGAUGAUGUUCGCAUUUUAAAUCCUAAAUCUAUGAUUUUAGUGUUUCAAUUAUGAUAGUAUCACAUGUUUUAACUAUUCUCAUGCUUAAGCCUAUGAAUUUCAAGUGUUUGAUAAAAUGCCUAAAAGAUUGGGUUUUGAACAAUGACUACUUAUAAUGUUUUCAAAGCUUUUGUAUAUUCCCAUUGUUAUUGUUAUCAAGUUAUAGGUUUCAUUAUCUAUAGAAUGAUUUUAGUUAUACCAUGAGUAAUAUCAUUCAGUCAGUUACUAGGGUCAGUUUGAGUUCAAUUAAGCUUAGUUCAGUCCAGUAACCAGUGCGUUUUAGUUGGGAGUAAAAACUUAGCACUGAGUGAAUGUAGGGAUGGCAUCUCCCCUAUUAGGAGGCAUGAGGCACUUGUAUCAUUCCCUAGGUCCAUACCUACGAUGCUACUAUAUCUUUUGAGGGGUUCCCCAUCAGUUAGGCAUGAUACCCUCAUCGUUUAGGAUAUCAAAUUAGUGGAUUCACACAACUAAUGUUAGUACCCAUGGCAUGGUAUUGAUACCCUUUCAACUGGGGUUACAGGUUGGACCCUGAUAGUAUAUUGGGGUAUGUCGGUUAUAGCUAGCUCACAAAGUCUCUGUUCAGUAUUCAGCACAGAGUUCAAUUUUAGGUUUGCUUGACCAUAGCAUACAGUUAUCAGUUAUUCAGUAUCAGUAUUUUAGUAUUUUAGUUUACAGACUAUAUUAGAAUCAUGUUUUAUGCUUGGUCAUACAUUCUCAGAUUUUACAGAUUGUAUCAUUCAUACUCUGUUAUCUCAUUCUAUUCAGUCAGUUACUAUCUCAUGGAUAUAACCUAUGUAUUUUAGCCUAACCUUAUCUCAUAUACCAGUACAUUCAAAGUACGGAUUGCAUACUCAUUUCUUGUGCUAUGAUGUCUUAUAUCAUAGGUUCGGACGCUCGAGUUCCUGAUCGUAUGUAGACAUUUCAGAGCAUCAGCAGCAGUAGCGGAUGUGAGUCCUCAUAUAUCGAGGACCAUUUAUGUUUAUUUUAGUCUUUAUACUCAGUAGCCAGUCAGAUUUAGUUAGGGGCUUAUCCCAUCAACUCCUCAGUCAGUUAGAGGCUUUUCAGGCAGUUAAUCAGUUUAUUAGUUGUUAUUAUCAGUGUUCUCAGAAUUGGUUUUAGAUGCUUUUAGAAUUAUGAUUUUAAUCGAAUGUUUUAGUAUUUAAAACCUUAUGGAGUUUUUAGUUAAAUUCUGCAUAUAUUAGUUUGUUAUCUAUUUUAUUCAGUGCUCACAGCAAGUACCAACUCAUGGGUUAGCUUAUGGUCUCUCGGGACUGUAAGUAUCAUGUGAUUUCCAGGGUUUAUUUUUGAGGCAUUACAAACUUGGUAUCAAAUUUGAAGGUUUUAAAGUGUGCUAGAGAGUCUGAAAGUCACGUUAAGUAGAGUUUUGCGCAUAGGUGUGAAGCGCGCCACUCUUAUAGACAGGAGGCUACAAGACAUUUUAGGAAAAUUUUCCCUUCAUUCAGUAUUCAUGUCAUGUAAAUAAGCAUGAUCUCUAUUUAAACUCUCUUUCUAAAUCGAUCUUUCUUUCGUUUAUAGAACAUGCCUCCCAUAAAUACUAACGAAAAAAGUAACGGGAAUUAGCUCGCACCUCCGCCCCUUCAGGAAGAUCCCCUGAAUAAGCAUGUCUCUCAUGUUGAGUUUAGAGUUGCAUUCACUACUCUAGCUCACUUUGUAGUAGCUUAGAAUAAUCAGCAGGCUGCCAUCCCAGCCAAGAUUCGGGACUUCACCCGAAUGAAUCCUCCUUUAUUUUUGGGAUCUAAGUCUGAUAAGGAUCCACAGGAGUUCCUAGAUGUGGUUUAGAAGGUAACAGAUAUUAUUGGUGUGACUUAUAGUGAGAGUGCAGAGUUGGUUGCUUACCAGUUAUAGUAUGUAGCUCAUACCUGGUAUAAGCAGUGGAAGGGGAAUAGAGGCACAUAUGUAGGGCCUGUAUAGUAGGAGGAGUUUACUACACCUUUUUAGACAGAUUCUUCCCUUUGGAGUUGAGGAAAGUUAAGGUGCUGGAAUUUAUUCAUUUGAGGCAGGGUAGUAUGAGUGUGAAAGAGUGUUCCCUUAAGUUUACUCAGUUGGCAAGGUAUGCUCCUCAUGUGGUGUUUGAUAACAGGUCUAGAAUGAGCAAGUUUGUGUUUGGUGUAUCUGAUAGUGUGGUCAAAGAGUAUAGAACCGCAAUCUUGAUUAAGGAGAUGGACUUGUCUAGGAUUAUGGUCUAUGCUCAGCAGAUUGAGGAGGAUAAGGUUAAGAAGAAAUAAAGAGAGAAUAAGAGGGCUAGGACAAGUAGUUUAAACUUUACUCAGCCAAGGUCAGAGGGUGGUAACCGUCCUCAAUUCUUUCAAAAAUCGUCUACCCUAGCUCUGUCUUCGACUAGUGCUCUAAUGCCAAGGUUCAAAAAUGAUAAUCAGGAUAGGGCGCAGGCUCUAAGACUCAGGGUAGUAUGAACAGUGGUCGAACUAAUCCACUUUGAUAGAAGUGUGGUAGGAAUCAUCAAGGUGUGUGUAGGGUUGGCAAUGAUAUGUGUUUUGGAUGUGGCAAGACGGGCCAUAGGAUAAGGGAGUUUUGACAGGUAUGUGGAAAGGUAGGAAUGAUCACCAGCAGGGUUAGGCUAACUUUUCAGUAGCACCAGCAAGUCGCCCAACUCAACAAGGUGCCACUUCCAGUGCCACCAGCGCUAGAACAGAUUAUAUGCCCUCCAGUCCUAUCAUGAAAGUUCUCCUGAUGUGGUUACAGGUAUGUUACAGGUCUUUCAUUUACAUGUUUAUGCUUUGUUAGAUCUCAUGGCUUCUCUCUCUCUUUUUAACCCUUAUAUAGCUGCCAAUUUCGGAGUCAGUCCUAAAACCCUAGCAGAACCCUUCGUAGUGUCUACCCUAGUAGGUGUCUCUAUUAUAGCCAGGCAGGUAUACAGGAGCUGUCUGGUCAUAAUAUCCCAGAAAGUCACUUCACUUGAUCUUAUGGAGUUGAAGAUGACUGAUUUUGAUGUCAUUCUAGGCAUGGAUUGGCUCCACUCAUGCUAUGCUUCAGUUAACUAUAGAAACAGAGUCAUUCAGUUUCAGUUUCUAGGUGAACCAGCUAUUGAAUGGAAGGGUAGUACUUCAGCACUCAGGGGUCAGCUUAUUUCAUAACUUAGAGUGAGAAAAAUGAUAUCCAAGGGGUGUGUUUAUUAUCUUGUUUGAGUUAAAGACUCUAAUUCUGAGACUUCCAAUCUCAAAUCAAUUUCAGUAGUGAGGAAAUUUCCAGAUGUAUUUGUUGACACCCAAUUUUGACUCUCCAUACUUAAAAUUAGCAAUUUUAGGCUUUAUGAUUGGUAAAGUGCAUAAAAUACAAUUUUUCAUAUAUUCUUUUUAUGAUUUUUAGCAAAUUAACAAUAAUCGCCAUUUUUUAGAAUUUUUUAUCAAUUUAUUUUCAUAGUUUAACUUUGCAUAAUUUAUUGAUAAUUAUUCUUAAUUUCACAAAUUUUAGAAUUUUUAUUAGUUUAUUAUCAUUUUAAUAUUUUUGCACAGCCAUCUGCAUACGUACAUAGCAUAACACUGCAAUUCUUUCUUACAUAUUAUGAUUUUAAAUGCAUAUAGCAUAAUAUAGUUUUUAGGUGAUUUAUUAUAUUUGUUGUUUAUAUUUUUCUGUAGCUAUACAUUGGCAUUCAUCUUUUGGUAUAUUAUUUAAUACAAUCUGCAAACGUAAGUCAGCUUAAUUAUUUUAAUACACAAAGCAACAAAUUAAUCAAGUCAAAAUCUCAUCACUUUUUAAAAGGUGACACUUGAAUUGACGGAUUGAUUUUUCAUCCAUUGAAUAAAUAAUCUUUAUAUAUUGGUUAAAAGAUUAAAAAAUCCAUUAGACAAUAACUCGUGGUUUAAAUAAUGCAUUAAAAGGACAAGAAGGGGUCAAUUUUUAUUUUUUGGUUAAUAAUGGGUGUCACUUUUAUUUAUAAAUAAAGAAAAAGGGGGUUAAUUUUUUAAUCACAAAAUACUAUACACAAUACACGCGCAUACACAGAAGAUCAGCCUUCUCCCCUCUCACUCUCAUCUUAUUUUUCUCUCUCAUCCUCUCCUCUCUUCCACUGCCGGCCUUACUGCUGUCGGAGCUCUGACGGAUCCCGCACCACCACGCUCUACCUUCUUCACCUGUCGCCACAGCCAUCACUGGCCGGCGAAAGUUCGAUCAAAUGGCCCCUCCACUGUCGAACCAGCAAACCCUGCCACUUCUUGAUUUCGGCCAUCAUGGACGGCGAACCACCAGCGCUGCCCCUUUCUCUCCCUUUCCCCGUCACCAAACAACUCCGGCGAACCUCCCAUCGCUUUUUUUCCAUGGUAAUGGCCAAAUUUGGUCGGAUUUAUAUUUCUUUUGGCAUUGCUCCGGCAAGAUCCAUUGAAGCAAUGUCACUUUCAUCAUUGCCUUGUCUUUUUAUGUUGUUAUGUUACCCUUUUGGAUCUGUACGAAGGUGGAUUUUUUGGCAAAUCCUCAUUAAAAUUGGCUAUCUUUUUUGCUUUUUUGUAUAAAUUUUCAUACAUAUAUUUGUGUAAUUUGCUGCUCUUGCAUUUUAUUUAGAUUUGUUGGACUGAUUUGACUAUGAUGGAUGUCGUGUUGUUGCUCUAUUUUGCUACUGUUGAAUUCCUUUUAGAUUAUUGUCUUUAAUUUCCUGGUCAUAUUUGUAAGCUAUUAAUUAUUGUAUUCGAAUUUUUAAGACGAGCACCAUUUUUUGGGGUAAUUUUUGCAUGUUUUGGACAUUGUUUUUAACUUGUGAUUACUACUAAUAAUCUCUAUUGUUGCUGUUGAGCUUCAUUAUUAUUUUGACUAAUUUUCUAUAAUAUUUUAUUCAUAUCAUAUUGUCUUUUUGUUUUACGGAAAAGCAUUUUACUUCAUUGACUUAAUCUAUUGCCUGCUAAUCUUGACUGAUUUGUCACUGCUUUGAAACAGUAAUGCAUAUGCUUGGUCAAUGAAGAAAUUUUUCAUCGAUUUUCGAGGCCUACACAAAUGAAAAUAAGGAUAUUACGUAUAUAAACACGUAAUAAAAUAAAUAAAUUUUGGGUGAUGAUGAAAUUUUAACAACAACGCAAAAGUUUUAUGAUUCAUAUCUUGGCAAGACGAUUUAGGAUGACUAAUAAAUUGAACAACCACUUCGUAGCCAUGGCAUACCUAAAAUCUGAUCCGAGCCCACACUUUUUACUGAAAAAUUCUAUUUCUUAUACAUAUAUGCACACACUUCUUCUCAUUUUUUUGAUAAUUAUUUAUUUGUUACUAAUAUUUUUAUUAUAAGGAUUUAUACAGGUUAUUGGGAAAAUUCGUCAGAAUGACAUUCAAGAAAGAUUUUAAAUUUUAAAGAAGAAUAUGAGGGGGACAUUAGUCAAUUUGAGGAGAAAACUCAAGAAUCAUAACCACUCGAUUGUCAUCUUGAUCUUGAGACUAACAUUGAGAAGGUGAAUAAAAGUAAGUGUGUAGUAGAUAGUGUAAAUUUUGAAGUAGAAUUAGUUGGCCUCACUUGAAGCAUUUUUCCACAUUAUGUUUAGAUGAUAUCUUGUCUGUGGAAUCAUCUAAAAUAGUAGAAGAGUGUGAAGAUGAGGAACAAAACUCCUAUAUUCUUUAUUUUACACUUGAUAAGAAACAUAAAAACAUACCUCACUUUAAGGCCGAAUGGUUUACCACGCUCAAUCCAUUACUCGACUUCUUAAUUUUUGUACCACCCCCUAUGAUCGAGGCAAAAAGAUGGACUCUAAGUUGGGGGUGAAAUUCAUAUCCUCUAAGUGGAGGAAAAAGCUAAGUUGGGUCAUGCCGCAACACUAAAUUAGGUGCUUCUUGGGAGGCAACCCAAGGUAUUUUUUUGUUUGUAUUCGUAUUAUGUGAUUGACAUUAGAUCUUCGCACCCAUGGUACCACAGGUAUGUUUCUGACUCUCUUGCUUUGGUUUGACGCAUUGGGGAUAUUACAUGAUUUUAAGUUGAGGGUAGGGCUACUUGUGUAUGUUGACGUUCAUCUGGGGUUUUUGUUAUCGUGACUCUUUUUCUCGGAUUCUUGUUCCUAGUAGAGCUGACAGGUUUAGGCGUAUUGUAUUUUUUUGUGAUGUGUUGUCAUUAAUUGGGGGAAAAAUAAGUAUCUAGGACAGUUGACAUAUUUUUGUUGAUGUUUCUUGGAAUGAUAAAUACCUCUCCAAUUGUCUGUCUGGUAAAUGUGUGAUGUGCAUCUAUAUGUGACUACUGUGAAUCUUUUUAUGGCAUUAGUACUAGGGACAUGAUAAUAACUGUAACAAUUGCAUGAACCGAAUGGGUAGUAGCUUGUGAUGUAACUUUGUACCAUGUAUAUGUGAGAUACUAUCUAGUUCCCAUUGUGUGUUAAAUCCAGAACUUGCUCGGUUGGUCUUGCCUUGGUUGUAGGAUACGGUUAGGAAAAGAUCAUAGGCUAUUGUUGAUAUUAGUCCACUUUUAGCCUAAAUGACCUUCCAUGUAUGAAUAAUAUCCCUUGAAUCUGAUUUUGAGCUUGAAUGCCUAUUUUUUUUAUUAUACCUAUCACCUUCCCAUUUGUAUCACAAUAAACCUGUUUUGGCCCUGGUCCUGCUUGGACAUUAUGCACUUUGACUUAGGCAAAUAGCCUAAGUUGAGGGUGGAUACCAUAGGAUUUCAUGAUGUAAAAUGAGUAUGAAGAAAGGUAGAAUAAAAAAUAAUAAUAAAAAGCUGGGUGUGGUGGAAAAAGAAUAAGCAAAGAAAAGUUGUGAAAAAAAAAUGAUUAUCAAAAAGACCGCAGCCAUUCGGAGUAUGUGUGAUCAAGAAAGGAGAGAAUUAGGUAAAGGUAAAUAAAUGAUACCCCAAAAUUUAGUGUAGUUCCAAAGAGGCUUAGUCACCUUAAAUAUCAUCGAGUAUCAUACCAGUCCUUAGCCUACGUUACAAGUCGAAGAAAAAGACCUAUAGCGAUCCUAGCUUACCUGUUUGAAAAUCUUGGUAAUGAAAAUAAGGGCAAGCUUAUGGUAUUUGGCAUACAUUGACUGGAACUUCUUUUUGAGAGUGAGUGUCUAUUGAUUGUCCCCACGAUUACAUAUGUUAUUUCUUAUAUGAGUAAGAAGGGACUUCUUUGUUGUAAGGGAACACUGGUUAUGUUGCUAGUUGCUAACUUGUUUGGGUAGUGUAAUAUUGAUACAUGCAUGAUUGUUGUUGCUAAGUUUAUGUCAUAGCUUGAUUCCUUUGUGUUGCAUUGUUGCUUUUCAGUAAUAUACACAGUUGAGUUUGGAGAUGGCAAAUAUGUUUUGAACUAAAAUUGAUGAUCAACUGUCAUAGGUAUCUUAUGUGUCUCUUGGUUAAGCAUCGUAGUAUUGUGUUUUAGUUGCAUGAGGACAAGCAAUUGUUUUAAGUUGAGGGUGUUGAUGUGUGAGCAGAUGCUAACACAUUUGAGGCUUUUAACUGAGAAUAAUUGCAAGGUCUUAAGCAACUUUGUUGUUUUUUAUUAUUUUUUGUUUGAUUUUAUAGGAAAGUCAAUAUGCAUGAAAAUAUAUGAAAGCUAUGUCAAGAAGGAUGAUUUUUGGUGAAAAUAGUUAAAUUUUGAAGAUAUCACCUGUAGACAUGCCUGACGACAUGUCUAAUAAGUUAUCAGAUUUCUAAUAAGCUAUCACACAUGUCGUCACCCUGAAGCAGAGGAUGAGAAAUUGGAAUCAUUUUUUAUGACAAGUCUGAUAAAUUAUUAGACUUGUGAUAAGUCGUCACACAGGUCGUUACAAUGAGACAAAAGAAAAGAAAUUGGAAGCAUGUCUGAUGAUAUGUGUGAUAACUUAUCACAAAUCUGAUAAGUUAUCAGACAUGUCAUCACAUUGAAGCAGAGGAUCUAACAACAAGUCUAAUAACUUAUCAGAUUUGUGAUAAGUUAUCACACAAGUCGUCACCAAAAAGGAAAAUUAUAAAUUUUUUAUUUCAAUUUUUUCUUAAGUUACGGGUAUAAAUAGCAACUUUUAGGGCUCAUUCAAGGUGGCCGCAUCAUCUUGGACAUCUUGAAACAAUUGGAACUCAUUCCAAAGGCCAUUUUACCUUGUUUUGGUCUCUUAACUUAGAAUUCAGUUUUCAAUUCUUUGAUUUAGUUGUGGGAUAUUCUUCUUGAAUUUUGGAAGAUAAUCAAUUUUUGACUACAUCUUUUGUAAGUUUAAUUACUUUGAAUGAUGAAUAUAAUUGUUGCUAUCUCUUUUUUUCUCAUGUGGAACUAAAAUCCACAACUAGGGUUGUGGGAUCUGUGAUUAUUCCUCCAUGGAUUUAAAAUUUGAUUAGGGUACGAGUGAUUAUGGGAACAUCUUGAUAAUUCUUUUGUAUUAAUUAUUUUUUAUUGGUUGCAAACAAUAGGCCUUGCUUACUGUUGAUUUGCUUGAGAUAAGAAAUCAACCCUAGUAAGAAGUGAAUUAUCAAUGAGGAUUUGGGAAGGUUAAGUUCUCAUCUAAUGAUUAAUAAUGUAACAAGAUUGACCAACUCGAGAUAAAAUCAGUAUGAAUAGAAUGCUUUCCUAAGUUUGAGAGAAAUAGGGAGUUCAACAUCUAGGUAGGUUGAGAAAUACUUAGAUGGACUAUCGAAACUGAUAAAUUGGUGUUUUUCAUAAGUCACGAGAAUCCAAUACUACAACUGUUAUUCAAUGGAGGAUUAAUAAUCAUAGUGUGCACAACUCUAGUUUCUCUAUAUCAUUGUUUUGAAAUAUUGCAGCUUAAGAUUUGAGUUCUAAGGCGAAUUGAAGUGUUAAUAACUUUUGUUCAAUCAUUAAAAACCCUUAUUUUGUUUUUUCGUGCCAGUUGUUUGAACUUAACUUGUAGCUUUAGUUUCAAACGAGUUUAAUCGCCACUCACAUUAUUCCUUGUGGAUUCGACCUCAACUCCAAAGUUGGGUAAAUAUAUUGACGACGACCGCCUUAUACUAAAUUGACUUGUAAGUUGAGCGUUAUCAGUUACAAAUCUUUCAUUUGUAUGUUUAUGCUUUGCUAGAUCUAGGGGCUUCUUUGUUUUUUUGUUACUCCUUAUAUAACAGUUGAUUUUGGAGUCAGUCCUGAAAUUCUAGUAGUGCCCUUCUCAGUCUCUACCCCAGUGGGUAAAACCAUCAUAGCCCAGUGGGUAUACAGGAACUAUCCGGUUAUGAUAUUUUAGAAAGUCACAUCAGCAGACUUAGCUGAAUUAGAGAUGACUAAUUUUGACAGCAUUCUCAGCAUUAAUUAUCUUUAUUCCUGCUAUGCCAUAGUCGAUUGCAGAAAUGGAGUGGUCUAUUUUCUAUUUCCGAAUAAACCUGUCCUAGAGUGAAGGGUAGUACUUCAGCGUUCAAAGGCCAGCUUGUUUCCUACCUUUAGGGACAGAAAAUAAUAUCUAAGGGAUAUGUCUAUCAUCUUAUUUGAGUUAAGGAUACUAGUUCUGAAACUCCCAGUCUUGAAUCAGUCCUAGUAGUGAAUGAAUAUUCAGAUGUCUUUCCUAAAGAUCUUUCAAGAAUUUCUCCCAAAAGGGGCAUAGACUUCGGCAUUGAUCUUCUUCCAGAUACUCAACCUAUAUCUAUUUCUCUAUAUAGAAUGGCACUAGCAGAACUUAGAGAAUUGAAAGAGCAGUUAAAGGAUCUCCUAGACAAGGGAUUUAUCAAACCCAGUGUGUCCCCGUGGGGUGCACCAGUCUUAUUCAUGUGGAAGAAAGAUGGUUCUAUCAGGAUGUGUAUAGACUAUCGUUAGCUCAAUAAAGUCAUGGUCAAGAACAAGUAUCCACUUCCCAGAAUUGAUGACUUAUUUGACCAACUUCAGAUUGCUAGUUACUUCUCCAAGAUAGACCUCAGAUCAGGCUAUCAUCAGCUCAGAGUCAGAGAAUGUGACAUUUCAAAAACAACUUUCUAAACUCGGUAUGGUCACUUCGAAUUCUUAGUCAUGUACUUUGGUCUUAGCAAUGCCCAAGCAGCUUUUAUGGACUUGAUGAACCGUGUGUUCAAGCAGUACUUAGACAUGUUUGUCAUAGUUUUCAUGGAUGAUAUUCUUGUCUAUUUCCAUAGCGAGAAAUAUCAUGUUGACCAUCUCAGAAUAGUGUUACAGACUAUCAAAAAUCAUCAGUUGUUCAUUAAAUUCAGUAAAUACAAAUUUUGGCUAAGGUUAGUAGCAUUCCUUGGUCAUAUCAUUUUUGGUGAUGGCGUUAGAGUUGAUCAUCAAAAGACCGAAGCAGUAAGAAACUGGCCUCGCCCUGUAUCUCCAUCAUAUAUCAGGAGUUUUUGAGGGAUUUUCUUCAAUUGCAUCCUCUAUGUCCAUAUUGACUCAGAAGAAAGUCAAGUUUCAGUGGUCAGAUCCUUACGAGAAGAGUUUUUAGGAGUUGAAGACUCAACUCACCUCAACUCCAGUUUUGGAUCUUCCAGAUGGUUUAGAUAGGUUCGCAGUGUUAUGUAAUGCAUCGAGAGUAGGUUUAGGUUAUAUCCUCAUGCAGCAUGGUAAGGUCAUAGACUACGCCUCUAGACAACUUAAACUCUAUGAGAAGAAUUAUCUUACUCAUGACCUUAAGUUAGCAGCCAUAGUUUUUGCCUUGAAGAUUUGGAGGCAUUACUAGUAUGAUGUUCAUGUAGAAAUAUUCACAGAUCAUAAGAGCCUUCAGUAUAUUUUUCUCAGAAAGAUCUUAAUCUCCAUCAGAAAAGGUGGUUAGAGCUCUUGAAAGAUUAUGACAUGAGUAUCUUUUAUCAUUCGGGAAAGGUCAAUGUAGUGGCCGACCCUCUCAGUAGACUGUCUAUGGGUAGUGUUGCUCAUGUUAAGGACACUAAGAAGAAGUUAGCUCAGGAAGUCUAUCAUCUUUCUAGACUAGGUCUCCGAUUAGUCGAUUCAGCAGAAGGUAGUAUAUAGGUUCAGAACAGAUCUGAAUCAUCUCUAGUAUCCGAGGUGAAAGAAAAGCAAGAUAGAGAUCUCAGUCUUGUUAUGUUGAAAGAGUCGACCAGAGAUCAGAAAGUAGAGGUUUUCUCCCAAGGAGGAGAUGGUGUUUUGCGUUAUCAGGGUCAUCUGUGUGUUCUUGGUGUAGAUGACUUGAGGCAAUAAAUUCUUGCAGAAGCAAAUAGUGCGUACUACUCUAUUCAUCCGGGGGCCACUAAGAUGUACCGUAACUUGUGGGGGAUCUAUUGGUGGAGUGGGAUGAAGAGAGAUAUUGCAAAUUUUGUAGCUAAGUGCUCUACAUGUCAUCAGGUUAAGAUAGAGCAUCAAAAGUCUAGUGGGUCCAUCAGGAGUUCAAUAUUCCUACUUAGAAGUGGGAAAAUGUGAACAUGGACUUUGUGAUGGGUUUGUCUCGUACAAGUUGUCAGCAUGAUUCGGUCUGGGUCAUUGUAGAUAGAAUCACCAAAUUAACUCAUUUUCUUCCAGUCUAUACCUCCUAUUCAGCCGAGGAUUAUGCCAAACUCUAUAUCAGGGAGUUGGUCAGAUUGCACGGUGUUCCGUUAUCCAUUAUUUCAGAUAGAGGUACCCAGACUCGUAGACUGGGGAACAAAAAGGUCCCCCUAGUCAAAGUUCUUUGGCGGAAUCAGUCCGUUGAGGGAGCUACUUGGGAAGCAGAAGCAGACAUGCGGACCAAGUAUCCUCACCUUUUCUUUGCAAACUCAAACUCAACCCAAGGUAAUAGCUUUCCUCAAGCUUAUUCAGUUUCAUGCUCAAAUUUCAGUUAUAAACUGUGUAUCAAAUACCUUUGCAUAUCCAGUCAUAUGUUCAUGUAUCAUGUCAGUCAUGUAUUCAUGCAUCACAUAUGCAUUCUCAUUAUGAGAAACUCAGCUUCUCAGUAAUUUCAGCCAUGCAUUUAUGAAGACUAUCUGUCACAUAUCCAUGUAUCAAACAUGCAUAUUCAGUAUGAGAUUUUAGUAUAUCAGAAGUUUCAGUCACAUAGAUAUGCUCAAAUAUUCACGUCUCUUAAGUAAGAUCAGUCUAUCAGCUUUCCCAGUCUAGUCAUUCUUAUUAGAGGACGAAUGUUCCUAAGGGGGAGAUAUUAUAAUACCCCAAACUUUCAUUAAGUAAAAUCUAGUCUCUAGAAAAGUUAGUGAUGACUUUCUAAAUGAUUAAUGUUUGAAUCAGAUAGAAUUUCCCCAGUUUUGACUUUUUAUCAUGUGGGAAAUGGAAUUAGCUUUCCAACGAUACCAAUUUCGUCCAAAUUUGGUAUCGAAAUAAAAAGUUAUGGACGUUUUAUAGAGAACUGUCGGAACUGACCAGAAGCGACGGUCAGGCCGACGGACCGUCGACCUAGUGACGGACCGUCUCCCAAGUCGUUGCGACUAAGCCAGUGAACCCGACUUCUGGUCAAGUGUGACGGUCAGGACCGACGGACCAUCGUGCCAGCGAUGGACCAUCGCUAAAACCAUCGUAGAUGAGGCAAAAAGUUUAGGUUUCGGCCAAGUGCGAUGGUCAGGACUUACGGACCGUCGAGCCAGUGAUAGACCAUCACCCAAACCGUCGCCCCUUUCGAUCAACGAUUUUAAGCUAUUUUUAAAAGGGUAUUUAGGUCUUUUUCAGCCAGUUUUAACCCCCUAACUAUACCAGACCAGAGCUCAUAACUUCUUCAUUCAUCUACAAUACCAAAUUAGGGUUUCUCUCAAAGAUCAAUCCCUAAGAACAAGAAACCCUAGGUUUUUAAUCCCAAGUCAAGAAUUUAAGCUUUACUUCACCAAUCUUCAAGAAAUCAUCCACCCAGGUAUGUAAAGUAUUGAUUCAUGGGUUUCUUUCACCCAUGAAGCUCAAGAAUCCAAUUUUAAACUUAUGAAUUAUGAUUUCCAUGUGGCGGGUUGAUUUUAAUUAUGCUGGUGUGGUUGUAUGAAUCCCAAGUUGGAGUCUUUAUGUACUUUUCAUGAAAUUAUGCUAGUAUGUGUGUUGGAAACUUUUAAAUUGAGUUGAUUAAAGUAAUCAUGAUGUAUGAACCAGUGUAUACGCCUAAGCCUAAGGUUAUGCAUGCAAUGUGUUUGAUAAAAUGACCAAAAGAACAAGAAUCAUGCGUUAGGACUUAAUUAUAACCUAACUGAUAAACCCGUGCUUUACCCUUAUGUUCAAGAUGACUUUCAUGUUAUUGUUAUGCAUUGAAAUUGUUUGAUGGAUUGUUCAUCAGAUUAGCCCUAUAAAAUUAUGACAUGUUUAUAUGCAUUCCUAUUCAUGUACCAAACCAUGAUAAUCAAGAACCUCAUAAAAUUCCCCAAUGAUUGUAUUAUGGAUUGUUGAUUAUGGUCGUGAGUCCAGGAAGUGUCAUGUCUUGUCAGUUUCAUGCUAUCGAGUCCUAAGGGUACUUGUACCCAAUAAUUUAGCUAUGUGCCUAGAGCCAGUGUCAGUUUUCAAGAUACUCUCAGUCAAGCCAUGCUCAGUAGAAUUCAGUCAGACUCAUGAUUCUGAAAAACUCAGAAAUCCCAGUAAUCUCAAAAAUCUCAGUAACUUAAUAAUCUCAGUAGUAUUCCGUCAAUCAAUGGAACUCACUAAGCCCAGCCCAGUUCAAUUCAGUUAAUCUUGUUUCAUUCUCUAUUCAGAUGGGAGUAGGAAUUAGCACCGAGUGAACCCAAGGAUAAGGGCACACACUGACAGUUGAGGGUGUGAUCCUUAGAAGCAAUCCUUGCAUUCCAGAACUUUGUACCCAGCAUAGGUUGAGACAUCAACACUGACAGAUAAGGGUUGAUAUGGUGGAUUAACCUGUCAGAUGAGGGUCCCACCGUUCUCUUUUAGGGUCACUGUCAGAUAAGGGUCACCCACAACUUGUCCUUACCAGUGGCACGGUAUUGACACCCUUUUAAUUGAGGUUACAAAUUGGAACCCAACUCAGCUAUAAUAUCUUAUUUGGGGAAUUUCGGUUAGAUAACUACUUCCCACAGUUACAAUCUCAGUAAUAGAACUUAGAUAGUUCUACAGAAUUCAGGACUGUCGAAUGCAGUCACCAGUUUAGUACAGAACUCAGCUAGUUUCAUCAGAAAUAGGAUUGUCUGACAUAGUCAUUCAGAUAAUAGUAUAUCAGUUAUAAGAAAUUUAUGUUAUUAGUAUUCAUAUUUAGUAAUGUCAUGAUCUCAGUCACAGUUCACGUAUUCAUGCAUGUAUUCUCACGUUUAUGUUAUUCAGUCAGUUAGUAUUGCUCAUGCAUAUAAACCCCUUGUAUUCAUCCUACCUCACUUGCAUACCAGUACAUUCAAUUGUACUGAUGCAUUUGCACUAUAGUGUUUUAUAUCAUAGGUUCAGAAGCACGAGCUCUAGAGCAUCCUUAGUAGAUCAGACAUUCAGUAGCCAGACUAGCAGUGAGUCCUCAUUAUUCGAGGAUAGCAAGAUUAUUUUAUUACUUUAUUAUUUUAGUAGUCCAGAGUUAGUUAGGGACAUGUCCCAUCAACUCCAUAAUUUUUAGACAGUUUAAAGGCUUUCAGACUAGCAUGUUCAGAUAGUUAUGUCAGUUUUAGUAUAGUGAUACCAUUUUAUUCAGAUGUUAUGUGUUAUCAGAUAUUUGAACCUUAUGGUCUUACAGUCUUUUAUUCCACAUUUAUACAGUAUGUUAUGCAAUGCUCAGUACAGAUAUCAGUCAUGGGUUAACUUAUGGUCCUUCGGGGUCAUGAGCAUCGUGUGGCAUUCCGAUUAUCCGAUUUGGGGCGUUACAAAAACUAAGAUAAUGUUAUAAAAUAACAAAUAAUAAAGAAGAAGAGUAGAGAGAAAAUAGGGAGUAACGCUUAUUUUUCUUAAGGAUGAUUUACAAUGAAGAAAAACCCUUCUAUUUAUACGAAAAAUUUACUCCUAGUUUCUCACUAAAAGACAGAUACUUCAAAUCAUGAUAGAUAUCAACUAGAUCUUGAUAGAUCUUAUCUAUAUUCUUGAUAGACAUUCACUAUAAUGUAAAUACAUUAUAACACUCCCCCUUGAAUGUGUAAUUGAUAGAUAAUGUGCCUCGUUAAAACCUUACUAGAAAAAACUCAGUGGAAAAAAUCUAGUAAAAAAAAGAGUACACAUCUCUAACAAUAUGCAUAUAGGCUGCCUCAUUAAAGACCUUACAAGGAAAACCAAAGACCUUACAAGAAAAACCUAGUGGGGCAAAACCUUGAAAAGAAAAAAGAGUACAAUGUGUAUUAACUCCCCCUAAUGAGAACAUUCUUGAAUCUUUGCAUCUCCCGAUCUUUUGCACCAUCUUCUUGAAAGUUGUAGUUAGGAGAGACUUGGUGAAUAAAUUAGCUACAUUGUCACUUGAACGAAUCUGUUGUACAUUAAUAUCACCAUUCUUUUGGAGCUCAUGUGUAUAGAAGAGCUUUGGCGAAAUGUACUUUGUUCUAUCUUAUUUUAUGAAUACUCCUAAAGUUAUGCUAUGCAUGCUGCAUUAUCUUCAUAUAAAAUCGUGGGUACUUUGUCACAUUUCAAACCAUAUUUUUCUCGAAUGAUAUGUAUUAUGGACCUCAACCACACACACUUCCAACAUACUUCAUGAAUAGCUAUAAUCUCAGCAUGGUUCGAUGAAGUGGCUAGAUAAACUGCUUUGUAUAUCUCCAAGAUAUGACAGUAUCCUCACAUGUGAACACAUUGCAUGUUUGAGACCAAAUUUAUGCGGCUUAAAUAAAUAUCCAACAUCAACAUAAUUAAUAAGACCAAGACCACAGUUCUUAGAAUAAAAUAAUAUCAUGUGUUUGAUCACAUUCUGAUAUCUCCUAGUAGGAGCAAAAUUAUAUCUUGCUAAAAAAUUAACCGAAAAGACUAUAGUACUUGCAAGAUACAUGAGUGCACCAAUUGCAGUAAGUAUGAAACUUCAUAACCAAUUCAAAUUGAUAUAUUUCUCAUUUCAGCAAAUAAUCUAUUGCUUUUGAAAACUCUCUAAGAGUAUUAAUAAUAUUCAAACCAUCAAUUUAUCUCUUAUAAGGAUAAUAAACAAGUUUCCCACAAACUUUAUAUGCUUCAGGAAUUUUAAACCCUUUAGGGAUUUUCAUAUAGAUUUUUUUCAACUGACAAUAUCAAUAUGUGUGACAUCUUCAAAUGUGUCGUCUGCAAAUCAAAUAAGUGUUAUGCUUAUUAAGAUGCAUCCUUUCAUGUCACUUAAUGAAUGUUUCUACAUUAGCAUGCUUAAAUUAACGUAGAAUUCAGAUCCUCUAAUCUUUUAUAAUAUUGCACCUUUAUUGUAUUAAAGAUAUCAUCGAUGGUUUCUCAUUUUCUAUCGGUUCACAAUGUAACAUAACAUUUUGAUAUUUCAUCACUUCAUUAUUUUUAGGUACCUGAACCUGUCAUAAGGUUUCAUGAAGUGUUAUGUUGUAGGCUUUUUAAGAGCAUAUUACCUUCUUAUUAUGAUUAUUUUCUCCUUAGUUUUCAAGGAUUAUUUCUUUUGGAAUCGAUUAGUCUACCAUGCUUCAUGCAUAUGUAGACUUUGUCCUUUAAGAACACAAAAUAGGAGCAUUUAUAGCUUAAACAUGAUACUAAAUUUAAGUCAAUAGAUGCUUCCGGCAUUUCACUUGAAUUAUCUUUUUAAUGAGAAUCUGAUGAUAAUUCCUAAUAUAUUUCAUAGCUACUUAUAAUCUCCCCCUUAUGUUAGGAAAACUAACAUUCAUCCUCCAUCUUCUUUGAGGAAUCCAUCUUUGUGCAUCAUGGUAUAUUCAUUAAUUGUAUAUCGCACAUCAAAACUAUUAGAGGGAAUAGUUGGUUCCUGACCUUAAACCAAUUGAGAGGAAAAAAAUAAUCAUAAUUUAUUUAUCUAAUGCAUACAAGUGCUAUUGCAUGCAACAUAUCAUAUUUUAGACCAACACAUAAAGUUUUGUUCUCAUUAGCAAUGAUUUAUCGAUUUAUCAAAGACAUUCAAUGCCAAACCAUCAUCAUCAAGAUGAAUUGUCUUGAUUACACAAUCUGAAAGUUAUUCUCUUAACUCAAUUUUAUUGAGUAAGCAACUUUAUGAAUGUCAAACUAUAUGUUGACAAUAAACGUACAAGUGAUCAUAUUAUAUAAUGCAUCUUAAUGGAUCACAUAACUGGUGAACAAACGCAUAUGCACCUUUUACAUUUUUCAGAUUUUAAGGGAUCAAAUCCCAAUAUUAGUUGGUCCAAUCAACUUAUCAUGAGAACAAACAACAUUAAAAGUUCAUGAAGAAUUUUCUAAUUCUUCAAUAAAUGUUUAAUACAAACUAUGCACAUUUUUGGGAUGUCGUAAUCGUUCAUGUCAAUUUAUGAACUUUUAUACUAGUAAACUCCAAGUUUACCAUGACAUGUUCUUUUUUCUUUAAUAAAUUUCAAAUUUACUAUUACAUGAAUGAAUUUUAGAUUUACUACUUUAGAAGUAAAUUUCAAAAUAACUCUUCUCAAUUAUUCUGCCUCUUUCGGAGGUGAGUUGUGAUACCAUCACAAUCAAGUGCGUGUUUGUAUUAAUAAGCUUUACUAAAUAUUGUCGCACUCACUUUAAAGAAUGGAUCUGUACUUAUAACAAUUGAAAUUCUUGUUCCCUAGGAAUGGAAUAUAGUCGUUCCUUAAUCCUAUCAAAUUAUGAUAGUUUAGAACCUCUUUCAAGAUACUGCUACUACAAGAGAAAAUCGAGGCAUACAUAUGAUGUAUUGAUACCACAUUCACUUCGGAAAAUGAAACAUGUUCAAUGAGACAAAUUUCAUGUCUUUCGUCAAAAACAUAUUGGUUUACCUUAUCCAUCAUUAUAUCAUUAAUAUGGAUUCAAACUCAACGUCUUAUCCAUAUAAAGGCGUCUUAGGCAUAAAUCAAAGGGCUUAAACCCAACAUCUUCAUCGUAGUGCAUCGAGACACUAACCCGAUGUCUUACUCUUUUGUGAGUGCAAUAAAACUUAAAUCCAUCGUUUUAUCCUCAACCAGUGCAUUAGAACUUAAGCCUGAGCCUUUCAUAAAUAUUGUGACCAAUCUUAAUUAUAGUCACAAAUAAAACUUUGAUCAUAAUAUCACCUUAAUGUUAUCAUAUAUAAAUCCCAAUUUCUCAGCUAAUCAUUCACAGUGUUAAUAAAAAUUAAAAUGGAUAACCAUUAAUGUGUUAUAAAUAUAAAAGAAUUGACACUUUAUUUUUAUAUAUAAAUAAUUAGUUAGUGUGGCAAGUGGCAGCAAAGCUAUAGAAAAUUUUGUGUUGUUCCCCUUUUUUUCAUAAUUGCUAUCCAACUGAUCCAAUACAUGAAACAUAUUACUUGGAUUAGAACCGUUAGUUAUUGGAUCAAAAAUAUUGGACAACUAUGGCUCAGCUAGCUAAAACUGCAUGCUGAUAAUGUGUUAUAAAAUAACAAAGAAUAAAGAAGAAGAGUAGAGAGAGAAUAGAAAGUAAUUCUUAUUUCUUUUGAGAAUGAUUUAUAAUGAAGAAAACCCUUCUAUUUAUAGGAAAAAUUUACUUCUAGUUUCUCAUUAAAAGACAGAUACUUCAAAUCCUGAUAGAUAUGUACUAGAUCUUGAUAGAUUUUAUCUAUAUUCUUGAUAGACAUUCACUAUAAUGUAAAUACAUUUAUAACAGAUAAAAUAAAAUGACAACAUCUUAGGAAAUUUAUCUUAGAUUAAUAGAGUUACAAUGUUAGUUAGUACAAAUAUACAAAAAUAAAUUAUAAAUCACAAAAAUAAUACAAGAAUUGAGGUUGGGCCCUUAAUUGGCCCAUCAAUAAAGCUGCCCAGAACUUGGGCUUUGAAUUAUGAACUUCAGUCCAUAAUUAUCCAUAUAUAUCAACUGUAUAUCACAACUUUGCUUUGCUGCAUUUUUCUAUAUAUUUGCUGUAUACCCACAUAUAAAACCCCGUAUACUUGAUCCCACCUAUGUCAUACGUCGUAUCUUGGCUUAUACCAGCCACCUCUAACCUGGAGAACCCAUAUAUCCGCUGUAUACUAUGUAUACCAAUAACUAUUUCUUCAUGUUAAUCUUUUUGAGGACUUGGUCCCGGAGAGGUGUAGGAAUGUAAAGUUCAAUUGGACUCGGAUGAAUUCACAUACAUCAAAUAAAAGAUAAGGAUUAACAAGUGUCUACUUAUAAUAAAACGAGCAAAAUACUAUAUCAAAUGUCAACUUGAACAAACUAUAAUAAUCACGCACUUAAGGUAUAGAUCAUAUAUAAUUUAAAUCAUCUAUAAGUCGCAACAAUACAACACAACCUAAACUACCCAUAACCAACUUAAACUUCAAAAUCUUAAACCAAUACUCCUACCUUCUUACCUAUAACCUGCAACCCCUGUAUAUACCAAAAACAUACGCACGAUAGGAAAAAGAAGCAAAUUAACAACAAUUAUUACUACCUAGAUAUUUACUUCCUCACAACCAAAACAUACCAUAAUACUAAUAGAAACAAAGAAGCAAAUCCACUAUGUAUACUCCGUCAUGAUCCCAACAACACAAAACAACCACAUACUUCCUCACAAUCCCUUUCCAGCUACCAAAUUCCCUCACGCCCCUUUAUAGGUUUCUCAAAGAUUUCAAGUUAUUAGAUCUAACUACUCAUUCAAUAAGUUCAUCUUUCGUGAAUCGAAACAUUAGAAUUUUCCAACAGCGACUAUAACUAAAAAAAAUGAGCAAAUCCCAAACUUGCGAAGUAAAAACUAGCUAGAACAUGACUUAAAACAUCAAAGUUAAAAAGGUGUCAAAGUGCAGACAAGUUAACAAUACAAUCACAAAAAAAUUGACAUUAGCGCGAAAUAAGACGGAAUGAACACAAUCAGGUAUGCCUUAAAGCCAUUAUGAAGAUUAAAAAAAGACAAUUGUUAAAGUGAUAAAGAUAUUAUUUUUUGACAUUAAAUGUAAGUAUAGAAACCAUGAUAGUUUACUAAGAACCUUUACGCCAAAUAGAAUAAGAUAGCGAAGAAUUAAAUGUUGUUUUAUGGUCUUGACUAGGGACUAGCAAAAUUGAAAGCAUGUAAGCAUAUACUUCAAUUCUAAUACUGAUUUUCAAGAGGAAAAAGAGCAAUUCAAAGAACAAGUUUGUAACACCCCGAAAAUCUGUAAAACACAAUACUGAUACCACUUUUACAUUCUAAUAAAAGUCUAAAGAGAGGACUGAAAUUACAAUACUGACUCUAACUGACAUCUGUGAAGUCUUUACUAUACUGACUAUAAAUAGUUGGGAAGCUACUCUAACUAUCGCUAAUCAAUACAUAUGACUAAGAAAAGACACAACAUAAAUAAAUCCAACUGAAGUCCUUAAAGUAGGACUCAUCACCUUGCUGGCUGGAAUAUGCAACUGUCGGAGUCUGAAUGUGCCUACUAGAUCUUGUACCAACAUGAUGAGACAAUGUAAUACAUAGACAUAUAUGUGGAUCAGAACUUUGAGGAUGUACUGAGUAUAUGGGAGCGUAUGCAUUAAGUCAACAAUAUCAUUACUUUUUAUAAAACCAAGUAUGCUGAUAUAAAUGACUCACAUAGCUUGAAUAAAUCUGAAAUUUAAAUCUCAUAAAUCAUGAAUAAUGAAACAUGUAGCAUAAAUCUUGUGAGUCAUUAUACUUAGUUUAAAAAUUUGUAUUCUCCUCUUAUUCUCAAAGUUUGUAAGCAAAAAGGAAUCUUAAAACAAUAACUUUCAAAACUUAUGCUUUUAUCUUGAGGAGGAUAGGACUUUGGAAACACAAGGACUUGGGAACACAAGGACUAUAAAACUUUGGAGACUUGGAGAUUCUGGGAACUUGGGAAAUCUUAAAACAAUAGCUUUCAAAACAUAUACAUUCAUCUUAAGGAGAAUAGGGGACUUCUUUUGAAACUUAGGGAUUGUAGAACUUUGGGAGUUUCUUCUAACCAACAUAAACCAUGUGAGCUGACAUGGAGUCCAACGUCUUGCCCACGUUGGGGAGAAUUGUUCUACCCUUGCCAUCAGAAUAGAACCUUAACUUUAGUGAUCACAAUCUUAGCCCACUAUGGGCAAAUCAGAAACGUAAGGUGGCACGUAGUUCUGGGCAUGAGACCUUGGAAUCAUACCCAACUCGGUGCUAAAUACUACUCCCAUACUUAGGCUUAGAACUUUUAGGAAAUUCACCUUAAAACAGCACAAGGGUUUAUAAAGAAAAUCAAUUAUGCUUAUCUUUGUUUUAAAUCAUAAACUGUAUGAAUAAUGUGGAUUCCUAUCUUAGCUUGGUUCAAAGGAUCAACUUUCUAUAUCAAAAUCUAAAGAUAGCUAAUCAUGGGAUGCUUAAAUCAUGAUCAUUCUUGAAGUUUCAACAUACUAACUAGAGCUAAAUGACCCAUGCUUCAAUUUCAUAUCAAACACCACAAGGCACAUGCGUUAUAACACAAUUAUUCAUAAUUCAACUUAAAUUCUGGAAAAAUAUGAUCAUGUGCAUAAAUAUUCGAAAGUAGACAUGUAAAUCAAUAUCCAAACCAGUUAAAAUCUCAAAAUCAUGCAAUUAGCAACAUGGGGUAUAAACCCUAACUUUAAUUUCAUGGAAAUCAUAUCAAAAUUAAGAAAUUUGUAACUUAAAAUAAGCUUUUGAGCACAAGAACGAAAGAAUUGUUCUUGUUCAAACCCCACAUACCUUAUUUGGCUUGAUUCAAUGGAACAAGUUGACUUUUAAAGCCUUGAAAAUGUUCUUGGAGGCUUUUCUUGAAGGUUCUUGAAUGGUGAUGUUUUGAUUCUUAAAUUUUCUUGAAGAAGAGUUUGAACCUUGUUCUUGAGGGUUGAUCUUGAAAGGAACCCUAGUUUUGAUGCAAUGGGUGAAUAUGAAGUUAUGUUCUUUGAUUUGAUGUAAUUAGGUGUUUAAAAGGGUGGAAAAGACCCAAAAACCCCUUAAAAUGGCUUUUAGUCGCAAAACGGAGGUGCGGGACGAUUUGGGCGACGACCCCUUGCCCCAGGGACGGACCGUCCCUCAAACCAUCGCUUUAUGGCCAGAAAACGGGCUUACUGCCUCAGUUGCAACGAUUUGGGCGACGGUUCGUCGCAGGCGUGACAGUUCGUCGGCCUUCCCAUCGCACUUUGGCAGUCCGGAUAGCUUACUGUAAAACGGAUAUAACUUUUUACCCCGAAAACGGAUUUUGGCAAAAUUAGUAUCGUUGGAAAGAUAAUUCAAUCAUCUAACUGUUGGUGUGUCAUGAGCUCAGAAAUUCAUAGUAUAACGAAAGAUAUUCUCGUUUGAAGUUGACUGUACCAAUAUCCUUCUCAAGAAUUCAAUCGGUAAGAGAUAGGACAUAUUUGAGGCCUUAAUACACAUCAAACUUUAUCAUAAAACUACCAAAUCACUAAAAUUUAUUUCUCAUGAGUUUGAAGCAUGGUUCUACUAUCAGUUGGAAUUCUCGAGGUAUUACAAUAUCUCCCCCUUGGGAACAUUCGUCCUCGAAUGAAGUUGGCUAGCAGAGAAAACGGAGGAUGCACAGCUGAAAUAAAUUACAAAAAUGAUUCUACAUUAUUCUAAUCCUUUGAGUACUUCUGGGAAUGCAUGAACUUAUAAUAAGAAUAGCUAUAUAGCUGAAUAUUUGAUUAGAAGAGAACUGAAUUAAGGAAGACUACCACCUUCGGCUGGAUCUGAGUUCACGGAGAAGAGAUGAGAGGUUUAUGACAUUAAAACUCGGGGUAUUACAACACCCCCUCCUUAGGAUCAUUCAUUCCCAAAUGAUACUAAUUUGGUUGAAAUACUAGAAAAGACUAAGAUGAUAUAUAGGAUACUUACGGACUGAACCAUGACUUAAUAUCUAAAUCUGAAACUGAUGCAUGAUGCAUGUACUGAACUGAAUUUCGCAAUCUACUUGGAUGCGAACAAACUAUCUCUUGAAAUGGUCAUACUCACGAAAUUUUAGGUAGUGAGACUAGACUAAAUUAGAAUAUGUAAACUGAAUUUCUGGUUGCACGGACUGAAUCAUGCUGAAUGCUCUCCCCCAAAUAGGGUAUUUCUUCAACACCUUUCUAAUGAAAUUUCUAAGGCCAUUAGGGAGAAAGGGCAUGAUCUGAACAAGACCUCAGAAUAAGGAAUUACAACAUUGCUCCAAAUAUAGCAUGGAACAUAGACCUGUGAAUCAUAAGACGGGUUAGAAGUACUAGGCCUCAAGCAAUGCAACUUCUCACUUUAAAGCUUAGCCACACUUCUAAAAUACUCUCUCAACUAAACUUUCCCCUUAAACACCAUACUCAUUGACUCAACCUAUAAUCCUUACUUGGCCGUUGAGAAAUCCAUCUACCAAAGUCUAACUGAACCCAACUCUCUCGUUAUGGUCAAGCCUAACUCGAAAUCACAAGGUAUUACACAUAAUACCAUAACAUAACACCAGUCAGAAUCAUGAAUCCACACGCAUCUGCAUUUUUCACAACUUCUUUAUCUCCAGAAUAAUCCUCAUUACCACUCUAACAACUACAAUCCACCUAGUACUAGAUAUUCACUAACGCUCAAUGCAUCCCUCCGCAUGUAUACAAACAUGACAUUCAAGCCCAUCUUCAUAACCCUAUAUGCACUUCUAAACAAACGCUCAUAAAACAUCUUUUCCAUAUCCUACAAACCUCUAUCAAGAACAACUUCUAUGCACUAUUCUUAAGAAGACAUACAUAAAAUUUCAACUACUCACACAUAGCAUAUAAAAGUUUAACUAACCAUGACGUGUAUCAACGACUUGGCCUCAAUCCUACUUCACACUUAUAGCCUUAGCUAAAAUAAGCAUACAAUAAUCUUCCAUUAACAGGAAAUGUUUACUCUCUCCCAUCCAGACAAUUGUUUGUCAUCACUAUCUUGACCUAAGGAAAGGUAAUAAAAGGUUAGAACAUGAGGACCUGAAACAUGUAGGGAUACUGUGUAUACCGAUGCUUGAGGAAUAGAAUAUUUAACAUCAUGAACUCAUCAAAGAGGUCUGAUCUGAGGACAUGCAUGAUAUAAAUCUGAAUUUCGCUAAUCAUUAAAAGUAUUGCUUGAGUGCUUGAACUGAGCAUACUGUAAAACUUGAGUACAUGAGUCAUGAGCUGCAUGACCUAAAUUUGGAGUUCAUCACUUAUGAAAUGUGACUCCAACUGCUGAAAGAACUAGAACUCCUCAUUUUGGGAACUAGGAGGGUACAUGAUUCUCUAUCAUAUGCAUGAACAUAAACUAUGAUCAUGGAACAGAAGCACAAGGUAUGAGUAGGUAUUGGGAUAAUUGGAAAUAUUGAAAUAAGAAUGGGUCGGGCGUUAUCCUCUCUUAGGGUUUUCUACACUACACAAGCAUUUUAACAAAAAUCUGGAAGUCUGACUUGGUUACUCUUUCUGUCAUCUUCCCCUCAGACUUAAGUUAUCACUCUCAGUCUAUGAACUACUAUAUAAACUUUAAUCUAAUCCACAAUCACUUUAUUCUAGAGUCUGGGAUAAAAUCAAUACACAUAAAACUAAACUUACCCUGAAGGACUGUAUCUUCACGUAUAAUACUCAAUGCUAACACCUCCUUCUAAGAUUCAACUCUUAAAUUUCUAUAGCCCCAUAAGCCAUCAUAUAACAACUUAAACACUUGCCAACUUAGAUUCUAACACUAAACAUGGAUAUCUCUAAACCUUUGUUGAACUUCCCUCAUACUCUGCUAAUAUCACAUCUUUAACUUACCACAUCACCAACCUGUAACCUAUAAGUUAACUGACAAGAACACCAUAUACUAUACAACCUCAUUCAUACUUAUCAACUCAAGGGUAUUACCAAUCAUACACAAAACGUAAUAACCUUAAAAAGACAAAGCAACAUUAUAUUACCUUGAGCAUACAGUUGCACAUUAUACUUGCAACACCAUACUUAAUAACGAACAACUAAACUCAAACUCUUUCAUACAUGGUUUAAGCCUACAAGAUCACUCCCAUAUAAUUAGCCGCACUAACUAGGGAAUUAUUACACCCACCUUGGUAACUAUCCACUGUUCAAACUUAGUGUCUAGUGCCAAGCAUGAUUUGACAACUCACCUUACAUACAAUUCUUCCUCGAAAACUAUAAAAUAUAACAUCAAGAACACUAUUCCAUUAGAACUUCCGAGCAACAAUAAUCAAUCAAAAUCAUACGGCCUAUCUUAUCAUAAUCCAUUAACACAUCCUCCUUCUAAACCUCAUUACUAUUUACCCUUUUAUACAUCUGAAUUACUAUCAUAGCUCUAAAAGACUCAACUAAACACCCUCUUUGCCGCCUCAAGGGAAACCUAAAUUAAUACCACUAGACCACCAGACGCUUCAUUAAUAUCCUAUACUUUUCAGACACAAUAAAUACUAUCAAUAACUCUUCCCGUACUUCAAGCAACAACAAUUCACCUUACUAAUAACUCCGUCUCUACCUUCCACUAAACUAACACACAAGGACAUAUCAUCUUAACACAUCUUGAUAACAUGCAUAAGCUUACAUCUAUACUUCCUACCACUCGUCAUUCCUGCAUCUUAAUAACCCAACUCGAUGCUAAAUACUACUCCCAUACUUAGGCUCAGAACUUUUAGGAAAUUCACCUUAAAACAGCACAAGGGUUUAUAAAGAAACUAAUUAUGCUUAUCUUUGCUUUAAAUCAUAAACUGUAUGAAUAAUAUGGAUUCCUAUCUUAGCUUGGUUCAAAGGAUCAACUUUCUUUAUCAAAAUCUGAAAAUAGCUAAUCAUGGGAUGCUUAAAUCAUGAUCAUUCUUGAAGUUUCAACAUACUAACUAGAUCUUAAUGACUCAUGCUUCAAUUUCAUAUCAAACACCAUAAGGCUUAUGCUUUAUAACACAAUUAUUCAUAAUUCAACUUAAAAUUUGGAAAAAUAUGAUCAUGUGCAUAAAUAUUCGAAAGUAGACAUGUAACUCAAUAUCCAAACCACUUAAAAUCUUAUCAUGCAAUUAGCAACAUGGGGUAUAAACCCUAACUUUAAUUUCAAGGAAAUCAUAUCAAAAUUCAAAAAUUUGUAGCUUAAAGUAAGCUUUUGGGCACAAGAACGAAAGAAUUGUUCUUAUUCAAACCCCACACACCUUAUUUGGCUUGAUUCAAUGGAACAAGUUGACUUUUGAAGCCUUGAGAAUGUUCUUGGAGUCUUUUCUUGAAGGUUCUUGAAUGGUGAUGUUUUAAUUCUUGAAUUUUCUUGAAGAAGGAUUUGAACCUUGUUCUUGAGGGUUGAUCUUAAAAGGAAUCUUAAUUUUGAUGUUAUGGAUGAAUAUGAAGUUAUGUGCUUUGAUUUGAUAUAACUAGGUGUUAAAAAGGAUGAAAAAGACCCAAAAAUCCCUUUAAAAAUGACUUUUAAUUGCUAAACGGAGGUGCGGGACAGUUUGAACGAUGACCCGUCGCCCCAAGGACGGACCGUCCCUCAAACCAUCGCUUUAUGGCCAGAAACGGGCUUACUGCCUCAGUUGCGACGGUUUGGGCGACGGUCCGUCGGCCUUCCCGUCGCACUUUGGCAUGGUAGUCCGGAUAGCUCAGUGUAAAAUGACCAUAAAGUUUUACCCCGAUAACAAACUUUGGCGAAAUUGGUAUCGUUGGAAAGAUAAUUCAAUUAUCUAUCUGUUGGUAUGUCAUGAGCUCAGAAAUUCAUAGUAUAACGAAAGAUAUGCUCAUUUGAAGUUGAUUGUACCAAUAUCCUUCUCAAGAAUUCAAUCGGUAAGGGAUGUUUUGAUUCGCCUAAUAGCUAGGACAUAUUUGAGGCCUUAAUGCACAUCAAACUUGAUCAUAAAACUACCAAAUCACUAAAAUUUAUUUUGCAUGAGUUUGAAGCAUGGUUCUUCUAGCUGUUGGAAUUCUCGGGGUAUUAAAAUGUUACUCAUAAUCCACUAAAUAGUGCAUUCACCGAAUUCCAUACAUAUAAAGUAGACUUGUGUUAACAAAGUAAACUUUACUGAUUUAAAUAUUUGGUUGAGUGAACACAAAAAAUACAAUCAUGUUUGAAAAUUUCUUGACACAACCUACUGUCAUUCAAAUUCACAAUUUGUUUAUAUCAGUUUAAAAGAGCUGAAUCACCGAUAAUUGAAACAGUCUUUUAAGGAAUCAACUAACCUCGAAACAAGCAGAGUAAUUUUCAACUAAUCACAAAAUAAAAUUAGUCAUGAGAAAUCAAACGCGUAACCACAACUCGUCAAAAUAAAUUUUUUUUUAAAUCCUAAGUUUCUACAACACACAAUCCCACUAUUACACUACUUGCACGAAGAAGAAGAAAUAAUGAGGGAAUGUAAAAGAGAAUGAUGUGUUCACCUUUUUUUUAGCGGCGAACGGGGAUUACGAGCCUGUCACAUCGGAUUUUCUCCACCAAAAACUCGACUUGGACUUACCAGCGUUGAAUCGUUCUUGCAAAAAUUUAGACGAUUUCAAUAAAUUUCACCAUGAACUUCUUGGUUACGUGAGAUUAGAACAAUUCUCCUCCAAAAUCUCUAAUUUUCCCUAAAAAGUCCUCUCAUUUCACCCUUAUCCCUCACUAUCUAUUUAUAGGGGAAAGAAUUAGGGUUUUUCAAAUUUUAAAUCUGAAUUCAAGUUGAUUUUUGGGAGAAAUUUUGAAUUCCAUAGUGUGACAAAGAGGAGAGACGUUGGGCAUUAGUUACUUACCCAAAAUGGUGAAUCAUAAUUGAAAAAGACUAAAGUCGUCUAAUUUUUAGCCAUAGGUGGUUGUACCAAGAGGAUAAAUUGGUAAAUAGAGGGGAAUGACUAGGGGCAAACGUUGUAUUGUUGUUGUUUGUUGUAGUCCAAUUUUUGACCGUUGCACGUUGUUGACACUAUUGUUAAAGCCGAAUAUUGUUUCAUUAUUGAAGCUGUUGUACGCGCUGGGGGCUGUUAACAUUGUUUUGUUAAGGUUGUGUUUAUCUGAAAAAAGAGGGGUAGAUCAGGUAAGCAAAAGGGGAAAAGAGCAUGGGCUGGAUCGAGUUUUUUUAAAUUGGGCCUGGGUCGGCUAUGCUAUUGGUGAAGUGGGCCGAAGUUGCAGCCGAAGCAAAUGGGCCUAGGGUGGCCUGGUGUUGGGGUGAUUUAGGUUGCUAGUCAACCCAAAUUUUUAAACGUGAAAAUGGGGCUGGGGUGUUGGUUGUUAUUUAGUUUAAGGGAAGGGGGAGUUUGACCUGUUGCAGUUGACCCAAUUUUAAAAACAAAAAUGGGAAAGAGGGCUGUUUUGGGUUAAGGGAGUUAGAUUAAUUAGGAUGUAGGGCUAAUUUAUUUAAUAAAUAGACCUAAAGUAUAAUUUUAGUCAAGUUUAUUUAAAUUUAAUCAUAUUGAAAACUCAAUUGGUCAAUUGCAUUGCAAUUAUGGUCAAAUUGAUUUCAAUUAUAAUCAAAUUCAAUAAAUCGACUAAAAUUAAAAUAAAAUUCAAUACGAGUUAUUAAUCGAUUUAAUUUGGAGCUUCUUGGUUUAACAAAAUCAAACAAAUAUCUUUUCAAAAAUUAUUUUGACAACAAAAAAUAUAUGUAAAUCAAGACUUUCUCCAUUUAAAUCAAUUUUCAAGAUAAUCCUUGAUUAAAAUUUAAUUUUUCGUAAAUGGUUAUUUAAGUAACAAAAUUAUGCAAUCUCGUAAAUACAAAAAUAUAUAAUCACUACUUAAAAUGACAAAAUUAUGUACAUAAAUAUUUUAAAUAUCUUUAAUUCGGGUAAAAUAAAUGUUGUAAGUUUAUUUAACACCGAACAAACUCAAAAUUAAACUUAAUCUUGGAGGGAAAAAAUUAUGCGUCAACAAUCAGUAAAGAUCUUGUGAAGGACAAGUACAUCCACUAUGAUUGGGAUCGCGAGAUAUUGUUGUAAAGAACCAAGAUUGGAGUAGUUCAGUUUGCAACUUUUGGUCCGCAGACGAGUGGUAUUUCUUCCAGUCCUAUUGCUGGAAAAGAACACAAUUCAGAUGUUGAGUUAACUUUAGAUUCUCCUAUUUUGAAGACCACGUCACUAACUGAAAUUUAUGAGCAAUGCAAUUUCGCUCUUGUGGAACCAUCUUCUUUUGAAGAAGCAGUAGAUCAUUGUAAUGACCCUUUCCAUAUUUACACUUAUUUUUAUCGAUUGAGCUUCUCCAUAGCUGCCCCAAGUAAUUUAUGACUUGCUGAGACCGGCGAUUCGAUCACCGGGAAGUUCGUUUGAUUUUAGAAUCAAUCCUUUGUUUAGAAAUCUUCGCUGGUUCCAAAUGCCCACCAGGCAAAAACUUCAGCGAAAUGACCUCAAAUUGAAAAUCUGACUUCUCCAUCACGUUUGAAACGUCAAUUUUAAGCUAGGGAAACCCUUGGUUCAGGUCCUAAGGCUUCUGAGCUUAUUUUGAACUAUUGAGUGCAUUUUAUUAAAAACGAAACUAUAGAUGUAGGCCGCACUUUUUACUGAAACGAAUCUUGGAUGAAAAUUUUAAUGAUUCCAAUGAAUUUGAAAUAUGGUUUACACUCAAAUUUCACUAUUGGAUCUUGUUAUUUGGGUUUCGAAUGAGUUUUGAGGGUCAAAAAUAAAUUUUUGACUUUACUGUCACGGGGAUACCGCAUCUCUCCGCCGAGGGGUUUAUAAAUAGACCUCAAAGUCAGCGAAUUUGUGGAUUUUUCCUUCAUUUUUGAGAACCUAAAACUAAAACCCUAAAUGGGUAUGAUAACUCAAAAUUGAGUCUUGUGGGUGUCUAAGGAGCUUGGUGAAUAUUUAUUAUCAUGAUUUUCACUCGGAUUAAGGUAAGAUUUCAUCACUUUAUUGAUGAAUUUCUUGAUUUUUGAUGCCAAACCCCAAAUUCACUGGGCCCAAAGAUUUCUUGUUUUUCACCCAUUUUUUAGGAUUUUGAUUCCUUGUUCAUGUAUGAACGUUGGGUUGACUUCGAAAACGCAUUUUUCAUAAGUGGGAUCCACUUAGGGUUGUUUGAUGUCGUUUUUAGAUCCGAAGUAUAAUAGUGUAAUAUGGGUAUCAUUAAACUCGUACUGAUGAAUCGAUUAUGAUUUUGAUAGUGUAAUGAUAUUUUAGGGAUUGUGAAGUGAAGAGUGUGUGGUGCAUGAAUUGAGGUUUUGUGAUUUGGCCUUGAGGUAGGCUUUUGUCUACUUUUCUUCAUAGAUGAUGUGUGAUAUAUGUUGAGUGAAAAUAUGAAUGUUAGGCUUGAUUAUGAUUAGGAUAAGUUGGCCUUGAUUGUUGAUGUGGAUAAGUUGGCCUUGAUUGUUGAUGUUUGGAGAUUAGAUAAGGAUUUUGGACCCAUAAAAUGGCAUGUUUAUAACCCUUUUGAAUCCUAUUGCUUUUCCUUUCUAGUUUAGAAUUAUUAUAGCAUGGUUGUGAUGUAAACCUAUGUUUAGGAUGUGGUUUUAACAUUUGAAGCAUGAUUAGUACAUUUGACCAAUUUGGACUAACGAGGUAGUCUUGAAAUCGUAAUUUGGAUAGAGUUGAUUUAAGUACCCUUGUUUCUAGUCAAUGACUUACUUGAUAUCUAGAAGAUGAACUAGACACCUUAGCCUAGUUUGGGGCAUAGCGUGCCUAAUUAUGGAAGUGAAGGAUUAGAAGUGGGAUCAUCCGGCCCAUUAAGCCAAGACUUGUGUUAGCCCUUGUAGGCUUAGUUGCGGAUAGUAGAUUUAGUUGAGACUAAUGAGCCUUAUUUAUGAGAUUUACUUAGUGAAUUAAUAAAUUGUGAUGAUUUUCACCGAAUUGUUAUUAAUGGACUAUAGAGACGUUAAUUUCCCAUAGAUGUGAUAUUGGGCAUUUUGAGAUAUUAUUUCCUCUUAAUUAUGAUAUUUGGCCCAUAGAAAUGCAUUUUCCUCUUAAUUAUGAUAUUUGGCUCAUAGAGAUGCAGAAAAUUACAUGCCAAAGACCCAAAUACGAGUGAUUUUAGCUAUUUGACUUCAAUAGAAAUAUCUUUAAAGAAUAACUUUCCUUACAUUUUAAGUAUAGUACAAGUAUCAUUUUUCCUCUUUACACCUCAAAUAUAUUUUUAAACUUUCCAUAUCAUUUGUCUGUAAAAUUUUAUUUUUAAUUAUUUUUACCUUUUUUUUUUAAUUUUAUUAUUCUAUUUUUUUAUUACUCUUACUUUUUAAUUUUUUCUUUAAUUUUAUUUUUAUUAUUUAAUUCAUUUGUCUCAACCUUUAUUUUUUCUCUUUUUUUCUUUUCUCUCAAACAUUAUCUAUUUCUUCAUUUUUUUUAAUUCAUUUCUCUCAACUUUCAUUUUUCUUUUAUUUUUUAUUUUUAUCAUUUCUCUUUUUUUCCCCCUCAUUUAUCUCAAAUUUUUUAUUUUUAUUUUUUCCUCUUAUUUUUAUUUCUCAUUUUUUUUUAAUUCUUCGCCUUUUUCAUCUUUAUUUUUUUCUUGUCUUUUUUUCUCAAUCUCUUUUUUAUUAUUUCUCUAUUUUGUUUGAUCGUUUUUUUCUCAUAAUGUGAUAGUGUCAACUCUUAUUCAUGGUGCAUAACUUGUUUAAAAUUCCUUAAUUUAUAAAACAUCUCAUAAAUCAAGACACAAUAUCGUAGAGUCAAAUUUUGUCCGUGAAGCGUAACUUUUUGUUUAAAAAUUCUUGGGCUAAGUCUUGUCUCUAAAUCAAGCGUUAUAGAAUAUUUCAUAAAUCAAAACAUAAUAUGAUAGUGUCAACUUACCCAUAGGACAUAACUUGUUAUUUGAAAGUCCUUGGGUUAAGUCUUGCCUCUUAGAAUUAUAGAAUAUCUCAUAAAUCAAAACACAAUGUGGUAAUGUCAACUCUUGCACAUGGGGCACAACUUGUUACUUAAAAGUCCUUCGACUACGUCUUACCUCUAAGAAAAGAGUUAUAAAACAUCUCAUAAAUUAUACACGAUGUAAUGGUGUCAACUCUUGUCCGUGAGGCAUAACUUAUUGUUUGAUGGUCCUUAGGCUAAGUCUUUACAUCUAAGACAAGAUUUAUAGAGCAUUUCAUAAGUAAAAAACAAUGUAUUAGUGUUGAAUCUUGCCCAAUAUAUAUAAUUUGUUUGAAAAUUUUUUAGAUAAGUCGUGCCUCUAAAGCGAGAGCUAUAGAAUAUCUCAUAAAUAAAAACAUAAUGUGGUAGUGUCAACUCUUGCCCGUUGGACAUAAUUUGUAGUUUGAAAGUUCCAAAGCUAAACUUUGCCUCUAAGACAAUAGUUGUAAAACAUCUCAUAAAUGAAAAUAUAAUGUGGUAGAGUUAAAUCUUGUCCGUAAAAAAUAAUUUGUAGUUUGAAAAUCCUUGAGCUAAGUCUUGCAUUUAUGGCAAUAGUUGUAGAAUAUCUCCUAAAUGAAAACAUAGUGUGGUAGAGUCAAAUCUUGCCCAUGAGGCAUAAUUUAUUGUUUGAAAGUCUUUGAGCUAAGUCUUACCUCUAAAGCAGUAAUUGUAGAACAUCUCAUAAGUAAAAACAUAACGUGGUAGAGUCAACUCUUGCCCGUGGGGCAUAAUUUAUUGUUUGCAAGUCCCUGAGCUAAGUAUUGCCUCUAGGAUAAGCGUUAUAAAAUAUAUCAUAAAUCAAAAUACAAUGUGGUAGUGUCAACUCUUGCCUAUAAAACAUAACUUGUUGUUUGAAAGUCAUAAAUCUUACCUCUACAAUGUGGUAGUGUCAACUUGCCUCUAUAAUGUUGUAAUGUCAACUCUUGUCCAUGCAACGUAGUGUAUUGUUUGAAAGUCAUAAGUCUUACCUUUAUAAUGUGAUAAUAUCAACAUUUGCUCAUGAGAUGUAACUUGAAUAGAAGAAAUCAAAGAAAAGAACAAAAAUAAUAAAAUUACAGAAAAAGAAGAAAAUUAAGAAAAAUAUUAAAAAAAUAAAAACCAAAGAAAAUGUAAAAGUUGAGAGAGAAUGAAAAAAAAAUAAUGGUUGAUAAAAAUAAAAUAAUAAAAAGAAGGUCGAGAAAUUUUUAUUUUUUAAAAAAAAAAAAAGAAAAAUCAAAGAAAAAUAAAAAAAAGUUUGUUUUUUUAAAAAAGUAGACAUUGAGAGGUGUAAGGACAAAAAAGUAUGAGAGGAAAAAAGAAAAAAAGUAGGGAUUGAAAAAAAUCAAAAAUAAAAAGAGAAAAUAAAAAAUAAAAAUCAAAGUAAAUUUAAAAGAGAAAAAAGUGAAAGUUGAAAUAUAUAAAUAUGUAGUUGUUAGCCAUUAUGAGGAUCAUUUAAGUAAUUUAAUUCAUUGGCAAGGACAAUUUCGUUCAAAAAAAUAUUAGUUAAUAGAUAAAGACUAUUUUAAGAAAACUUUUUUAUUUGGAGCUAAAAUUUAAAAGUCACCCCAAUUUUGGUCUAUUCUUGAAAUUUACCCAUAGAGGUGUAUUUUCCUCUAAGAGUGUGUUUGGUAUGAAGGAAAACAUUUUUCAGUUUUCUUAUGUUUGGUUAGGUUAUAUAUUUUGAAAAAAUAUUUUCCAAAUCAACUUAUUUUCUCUAAAUCUAAGGAAAAUGAUUUCCCUUCAAAAAGUAAGGAAAACAUUUUUCAAAACUCUCUUUCAACCUCACUUUAAAGUUGAAAUGUUCACACAAUUCUCAAAAUCAUCUACCCCUGCCCCCAAUACCCUAUCACCCCUACCUCUCCCCUACCCCUACCCCUACCAAACACCCCUUCCAAAAACAAUAUCUACAUUUUAUUACAAAAUUCAACUUUUCUCUUACCCCACACCCCUACCCUCUCCCCACGACCUAUAAAAAAAAUAAAAAAUUAUUUUUAAAAUUUUUUAAUUUUUUUCUUCCCCCUCACUCCCCUACCCUGACCCUUAGCUCCUACUACCACCACCACCACCACAACCACCUCCCCCCGCACCAAUUUUAAAUAAAAAAAUUAAAACUUUUUCUUAUUCCACCACUACUACCUAUUUUGAUACCCACACCCACACCCAUCCGCCUACCAACCCCCUUCCCAAAAAAAGAUUUAAUUUUUUAAUUUAUUUUUAAAAAAAAUUCUAAAAUGUAUUUUUUAAAAAAUAUUUUUUCAUUCACCAACCAAAUAUUAGAAAAUAUUUUUCGAAAAAUAUUUUCCAUCCACUAACCAAACAUAAGAAAACAAGUAAGAAAUCAACUUGUUUUCCAAGAAAAUAUUUUCCAUGGAAAAUAUUUUCCUUCAUACCAAACACACCUAAAUUAUGGUAUUUGGCCCAUAGAGAUGCAUUUUUCUCUUACUUAGUGAUAUUAUGCCUUCUAGAUGUGAGAUGUCUCAUAUAUGUGAGAUGAUUAUAUAUGUUUCGGCUUAUAAAUAUGAUUAUUGAUAUGAGUUUUGGAUACGUAUAUGGGCCUAAGGCCGUGAUUAUGAUGAUGAUUGGAUAUUCGAGAAGUGUUUAUCAUUAUAAAGAAUGCAAUUACAGUUUAUGAGUAUGCAUAUAUCUACUUUUAUACACAUCUCUACGAUAUAGGAUGAAGGAAGAUGCAGUAUUUUUCUUACGACUUUAUUGAUUGGAUAUUGGUGAUGACAAGCAUAGAUUCGGUACAUUCAUGAUUAUUAUAUCGGCAACUUAUGUGAUUUCAAAUGAAAUAUGAUCGUAUGAUUGUUCUGCUUAAUUAAAGAUUAAGCUAUGUGGUAGUUAGUUGUCUUUUAGGAGACUAUAGCACUUGGUGACUAGGAAUCAAAUGUAUUAAUUAAUGAAUCUUGCUUAGUUGAAAUAUGAUAGUUAUCGAUGGUUGAUGCAUGGCUAAUGAUGAUGUCGGGUUUAGCAUAGGUGAAGAUUAGUGAUAUUGAUGACUAAGUUUAUAAUGUUUAUUAAUUGUCAAAUGAGGGGUCGUGAAUUAAUGAGGUUAAAUAAUAAGAAGUGAUGGUAAUAAAGAGGUCUAGUUAAUAAUGUAGAAGCGUUGCUACAUGCUUGAUUAAUGAAUAGUUAAAUAAGAAUUAGUUGAUAACAAUGGUUAGUUAAUGAAUAAUGUUAGUUAAUAAAAAUGGUUAGGUGAUAAGUGGCUAUGUGUUGUCUAAUAAUAGUUAACGGAUAUAUGAUGAUUAGUUCAUAAUUUGGAAUAAUGGGUAAAUGGCUAUUAUGGUUUAGUGAUGAACAUUGAAGAGAUGUUAGAUGUUGGAUAUUUAAUAAAUAAUGGUCAGUUGCUAUCCCUUGAAUAAGGAUAAUGUUUAGACAAAUAACUAGAGGUCACAUGAUGCCGAGUGAACUAGUGGUUUCAUUACAAAUAGUGUUGAUUAGAUACCUUAUGGUGAAACGAUUAUGUUGAUGAGUAUAUUAGUAUAUGUUAUUCCAUAACGGUUGUUAUGAUGAUAUUUAUACCCGAAAAGGCUGGAGGAUACUAUUGUGAUGAUAUUGAUCCCCGAUAAGGUUGGAGGAUGCUAUUGUGAUGAUAUUGAUACUCGACAAGCCCGAAGGACACUAUAGUGAUGAUAUUGAUACCUGAAAAGGCCGGAGGAUGUCAUUGUGAUGAUAUUGAUACCCAGCAAGGCCGGAGGUUAAUUGCAAUGAUGAUGGUCAUGAUGAUGUUAGUUAUGAUGAGCUGUGAUAUUGAUUAUGUACCAUGUAUUCAUUCAUGCAUGCGCAUCGCGUAUUACCAAUAUGUACCCAUGUCUAUCAAUCGGUAUGGGACUGUUGUAUGGAUAUAGGUGAAGAAUAUGCCUUGUGUUGUUGUGUGAUAAUUGAACAUUCUGAGUCUGGGCGAUGAGGGUAUGCAUAGGCUCAACUAGUUAUUUGGUUGUCAUGAGUAGCCGGUUAUUCGCUCUGUUAUUGAUAUUGUUAUUAUCAUUGUUAUGAUCAUUAUUAUGGUUAGCUUAUGACAGAUUGGUCAUUGAUCCAGUAUCGAGAAUUGAGGUAUGUCUUUGGCCUCUUCUAUCUUAUGAUGGUAUUUUUGUACACGAUUAUAUCAUGAUUAGCAAGCAAUAUGGAUUGGAAACCUUGAGUAUAAUAGUAUUGAAUCCUGAUACUAUCAUGAUGAAGUCUUAGAAUAAGGAUAUGAUGAUCUAGACUACAUUUUGAGAUGACCUCAUGUUUACGUGUAUGUAUAUAUAUGUAUCUAGCUAUAUAAAGUUAUGGCACUACCAUAUAUCCCUUUCUUUAUUUAUUCAUAUUGUAUAUCCGUUUCUUGACCUUAUAUCUUGCUAUAUAUCUUUCUUUCACUCUUUAUUUGUAUAAUGGCCUGGGAUAUAUGGUAUAGUAUUGACGUCUAACGAAUGUGGCUGGAAUAGGAUAGUUCACCUUGAUACUUCCUUAGUCUUGUUUUGUCCUGGGAUAUAUGGUAUAGUAUUAGCGUCUGACGAAUGUGGCUGGAAUAGGAUAGUUCACCUUGAUACUUCCUUAGUCUUGUUUUGUUAGACUCUUGGACGUGAACAUAACAGUUGUCCCUUAUUAUUCUCAUUGACUUGUUAUAGAAGCUCUAGACUUUUGGGUGUAGUUUCCAUUCUGUUUAUAUGAUGUGUAUAUCUACUUUAUCUUUGGAGCUUAGUUAACAAUUACCUACGGAGUACCACUCAUUUGGUACUCAUACUACACUUCUGCAGCCUGCAGAUCAUAGUAUGGGUUAUCGUCGUUGAUUGUGCAUGAAGCCAUGGUUCAGAGACUUAAAGUGAACUCCUUACGCUCAGAGUAUUACUGAUUUCUCUUUUUAUAUUAGACCAGUCUCUAUAUUGAAUGCAGAGAUAAGUUGUAUUAGUGUAUUCAUUUGUACUUCACUUUGAAAUCUUCUUACUGUAGAAGCUCUUGUAUUGAUACCACUAGGUUUGUGGAUUUCAUUAUGUAUUUGUACUACCCCAUAUUUCUCAAGCUCAACUUAGCUCUAAGUCCUUGACUGAUCCAAUACAAAAUUUUUGAAGUACUAAGUAUUUUUCAGUUUAGAGUCUGUCAUUUCGUAGGAAAUUCAACCAGCUUUCCAACGAUAUAAAAUUCGUCCAAAUCUAAUAUUCGGGUGAAGAGUUAGAGCUAUUUUUAGUGUAACAGUGUACCAAUUUAGCUGUCAACACGUCGCAGAGCAUGACCAAACAACAAUUGUCAAAAACCAGUAAACCUCCGCGAUCACGACACGUCAUGCCAAGGCUCAUAUUCACAAUCGUCCUUUUCCAGUGUUCCAAUGUGAUUCCACCGCGCCGCGCCACCAGUCAAUUUCCCAAUUGUCACUAUCCAGUGUGACUCCGCAAUCAUGGCGCGUCGCGCCGAGGGUGAAAUUCCCAUUCAGUAAGGCACUGCGAUUUCACUGCGUCGCGCCAAGCUUCCAAGUCCCAGUUGUCAAUUUCCAGUGGCCCGACGCGGUGGAGCCAAAAAUCGAGAUUUCUAACUUUCAGUUCCAAGUUUUAAAAUUCCUUUAAGGGUAUUUGGGUCUUUUCCCACGGCCCUAAUCAGCCUAAAACAUAAGAUUUAACCCAUUAGUGAUCUAAAUAAUCAUCACUAUUCAAUUCCUCUUAAAACAUUGAAGAUCCUUUUCUCAAGAACAAAAACCCUAGCUCUCAAAUUCAAGGCCAAACCUUAAAAACUCUCUAUCAAUCCUCUCAAAUUCAUUAACUCAGGUAUGUUAAAUGUUCAUUCAUGAUUUCUUUCACCCAUGGAGUCCAAGUAUCUGAUUUUAAUUAUAAAUUUAUAAUCUUUUCAAGUUACUUUGUUUUUAAAUUAAGUUUUCAACCAGGAAUCUCCAUGAACUAUGAUUCUACACCAUGUAUGACUGAAAUUAUUGUUGUUAUUCAACUCCCCACGUUUUAAUGUUAUCAUUCAUUGAGUUAAAUCAUGGUUUAGUGCUAUUCAUUUUGAAUUCAUGCUAUUACUACAAAUUUCAUAACAUUCUCAUGAUUUGAUUAAGCUGUGAACUACAAGUGUUUGAUAAAAUGCCUACAAGAAUGAGUAUUUGAUAAAUGUUUUUCAUGCUAAGUCCUUUAAGCUUAAUAUUGUGUUACUAUUUUUGCUUUUGAGUCUAGGGGGUAGUGAAUACCUAAAAACCAUAGUUGUUUUACUUAGCCUUGUCUCAGUAUCUUCAGAAUAACUUCAGCUUAUAUCAUGAGCAUUACAAUAACAGUCAGUUAAACUCAGACUAAUCAAUAACUCAGUGUCAUUCAGUUGGGAGUAGUAUUUAGCAACGAGCGAGUAUAGGGAUGGUGACUUCCCCGUCAGAUAGGCAGAGUCGCUAGUAACAAUCCCUAAACUCUAAAACUACUUAGCCAGCGUAGGAUAUGAAAAGUCACCCGUCAAUAUAGGCUUGACUAUCUCGCAGGGGUCACCCGUUAGAUUAGGCUUGACACCCUUAGUCUUUCGGGACAACAAAGUAUACCAGUUUAGUGAAUCCACACAGCCAUCGUUAGUACCCGUGGCACGGUACUAGCACCCUUCCAACUGGGGUUAAAGGUUGGACCCCAAUUAGCUCAGAUUGGGGCAUGUCGGUUAGAUGAUACCUCCCACAGUCUCAGUUUAGUUAUUCAGUUUCAGUUGUUUGACCAUGACAUACAGAUAUUAGUGAUUCAGUACCAGAUUUCAGUAUUUAUAAACUAUAUUCAAAAUAUGUUAUACGCUUGGUCAUGUAUUUUCAGUAUUUACAGCCUUUCAUGCAUACUCAGUGUUUACAGAUUUCACUUAUUCCUAUGUACCUACAGAUUUCAUGCGCUCUAGUUAGUGUUUUAUGUCUUAUAUGUAUAUUUAGACGGUUAUUAUUCCUGUUCAUGAAACCAUGCACGUUAGCCUACCUCAUUUAGCAUACCAGUACAUUCAAAGUACUGAUCAAAUACUUUCUUUUUUCGCUAUGAUAUAUUAUAUCAUAGGUUUGGACGUCCAGUUCCCAACUCGCUAAUAGUCUUCUCAGAUCCUCAGCAAUAGCAGUGGUGAGUCCUCAUAUUUCGAGGAUAGAUUAAUUCAUUUCAUGUUUUCAGUUUAGUAGUUAGUGGAGUUAGUUAGGGCCUAUCCCAUCAACUCACAGUUAGUCAAUUAAAGGCUUUCAGACACUACUAUGUUUUUUUUUAGUAUUCAGACUUUAGUUAACAUGUCAGUUAGUUAUUCAGUUUAUCAGUAGCUUAUCAGAUUCAGACAGUUGUUUUCCAAUUUUUACAAUUUAUUUUUAAUCUCAAAUAUUAAAACCUUAUGGCAUAUCAGUUAUUCUUCCGCAUUUAUGAUUAUGUUAUUCAGUGCUCACAGCAGGUACCAGCUCAUGGGUUAGCUUGUGGUCCCUCGGGACUGUAAGCACCAUGUGACGCCCAGGGUGUACUCUUGGGGUGUUACAGUAUUUGACCUCUUAUCUUAUCUAUUCUGCAUUUCUUUUAUAUAUAAUUGAGUGGUCCAUUACUAGUCAUUCCGAACUAUGGGAUGGCUUGUCUACUGGUGGGUUAUAGUAGGCGACAUCAUGGCAUGAGAAAUUGAGUUGUGACAAAUUGGUAUCAGAGCCUAGGUUUCAUCAAUGUGUUAGUAUAAGAGCUAAGUUUUAGUAGAGUCCUGCUGAUCAGUGCAGAGACGUCUAUAACCUACCUUGGAAGGCUACAGUGACAUUCUAGGAAAUUAACUUCUUGAUUCCUUAUCGUGUGUCCACAUUCGUAUGAACCUCGAACACAUUCUUUUAUUCUAUUUUAUCCCCGAAGGACGAUGCGACAUUGUCGAUAAAUGUGGACGAGAAUUCAACAUGUGUUUUUAAAGUUUCAGCGUUCAUCAGAUUAGAGAGUUAGAGUUAAUAUUAAAGAUCUUCAGUGGCGGCCAAAAAAGAAUUUAGGCCAGCUUAGGCUCCAGUUGAGCUUGUGACUACUUCAACCUUUGGGGUUCUUGGGAGUUCGAGUCAUGUUGUAGAUCCUUCUCAGCCAUGAAUGACAUUUUAUUCAUCAAGUAGUCCUUACACCAGAGGUGGAUCUAACAGUGUUCAUCAAGUUCUCUACCAGUUUUGAGUAUGAGAUUGGAUCUCUCAUGUGGUCCAGGCAUCUUCCCAUGCCAUAUUAUUUUGAGCCAAACUUUGGUGCAUGGAUGUGUUAGAGGAUUAUUAUUAGAGGAUUAUUAUUGUCACUUCGUUUGGUGUCGGAGCACUUGAUAGUAGCUGAAUAUUCCUUCCCUCAGGGUGUUGAUUAUGAGAGGACCAUAGAGAGUGUAAGUUUUGGGACUUACAGAAAUGGCGGCAAGAGGCAUGCCAUCAAUUUAGUGUUAUUGGUAUUUUAUUUGAAAGCGAGGAUUCUUCUGGUGGAGUUCACAACUCCACCUGCAACCCAUCAGCUCUAGGCAGACAAUAUUACAUUCUACAAGUAGUUCUUAGAGUAGUUGUGAUGAUCAUGGACAGUGGUCAUGAAAUAAUACAAACUCAUACACAUUUGACGCUUAAAUUACUACAUCCAUAUUCACGUCAUGAAACCAAAGGAAACAAUGAGCUCAAGAACAUGUAGUUGAUCACUCUUAUAAGGCCUUCUCGUUCUAUAUUAUUCAGAUAGUGAUUUAAGCCAUAUUCUCUAAUAACCACAUACAUCACAUAUCCGCAUGUAAGCAACCCGUAUGAUAUAAAACGAAAUAUAUUUCGUAUUCAAGUGUCCAAGCGAGAAAAAUUCAAAAUUUCAUGACGCUCAACCAAACGUCUGUAAAUAUAUUAAGCCUUUUUGAAAACCCCUUUUGCGAUAGGAUAAAGCAGCUAGCAUCUUAUAAACAUGUAAGCCAAACAUUUGCACAAUUUACAUAUCUUGAGUUUUCAAAAAAAAUUAGAAGAGUGUAUGUAGUCCAUGGCUACAAGGAAAUAACUUUAAAACAACUAGUUGAUGAGAAUUUGCCGAUGAAUACAUAAUCAAACAUUAUAGGAAAAGAAAAGCGCAUUUCUUUUCUUCAAAAAGAAAACUUCUGGUAACUACACCUCAAGACAGACCAAAUUUCCAAUUGUUAUGGAAAAAUGUUCCCGCAAAAAUGGACAGCUUUGAGGGCAUCUUUAAAAUCGUUUCAUCUUGAGACGAACAAAAUAAGACAACAACAUAGGGUACUUAGUUUGCAACAGAACAGACAACUUGUACAGAUAAAACGUUCACACAAAUGAAAAUUUCUUCAUGUCUUGGACAUUUGAUCAUGACACUACAAAGCAUCUAAACGAAAAGGAGAAACGAGACCAGACAGUUUUCUUAAAUUCAAUUCGUAAGGAAAUAGACAGCAACAUCAAAUGAGAUAGUCAUACGCCAUAUAAAAAUACUAAAGAAUUGAUUGAAGUGUUACUCUAACACGUAGUAAGGAAGAUCGAAAGAAUGCUACUAUAGGUUCUAGAUUCAACCAAACUCUCAGAAAUGUUCAAGGGGUGCUAAAGGGACGCAGUUUCCCUAGAAAAGUACUGAUUACACGGAGGUCAAACCCACUAGACAACUCAACUAUGAGGUCUCCAGAUAAUCAUGAAAGUCUAAGAGAUAGUGAGACGGGACCAAACUAACAGUCAGAUGGAUCUGUUGAGGGUGAACUGCAAAGUAGAAAUAAUCUGAAUGCCAGCUCAUCCGCUAACUAGACAAAAUCAUCGACGUUCAACCGCUAACUAGACAAAAUCAUCGACGUUAAGUUUAGAAAACACAUCAAACGAAGUCCAAAAGCCAUCAAUUGGCUCAAGAGCUACUGAUUUGGCCAGGCUAACGAAUUUCACAAAAGAAUUAUCUGUGACAACUGGAAAUAUACGUGCUCAGCUACAACUAGAAACAACCACACUUCGACGCUCCAUCGUUUCUGCCUAGAACUAUUUUACAAUUAAACCUUUGAACUACACUUAUUGGAUGGUUUGAACUUUUUCCAAUUUUGAAACACAUAAUAGAAUAUCUUGAUGGACAGUGGUCAUGAAAUAAUUCAAACUCACACACAUUUGACGCUUAAAUUACUACAUCCAUAUUCACGUCAUGAAACCAAAGGAAACAAUGAACUCAAGAACAUGUAGUUGAUCACUCCUAUAAGGCCUUCUCGUUCUAUAUUAUUCAGAUAGUGAUUUAAGCCAUAUUCUUUAAUAACCACAUAAAUCACAUAUCCGCAUGUAAGCAGCCCAGAUGAUAUAAAACGAGACAGGAGAAGUGACGAACAAAGCAAGACGGGAUGAUGCACAUAUUCCUUCUAGAUCUCACUCCACAAAAAUAACAAGAAAACACAAAAGGUACAUACUGGACAGAAGAAUUCUGAGGAACAUAUCGUCCUAUAUAGAUGUCUACAGCUUAUCCAGACAGAUAAAAUUUCCCACAACUUGAUUAAUGUUUUUCUGCUAUUAUAGAUAUAAAAGUAUAAAUAUACAUUAAAGAAUAGAUAAGGCAAGGAAAAAAGUACCUUACAACAAGUUAGUACAUCAUAGAAUGUCUUCAACUAUAACAUUUUAAAAAUAUUAGCUACACAAAGGUAAAACAUAAAUGCAGAACUACAACUACAGAAUGUUAUGGAAGAAUGCCAUUGUUGUUGAUUUACUUUACAGGAAAACAAACAAACGAAAACAAAGAAACCAAAGAAGGGACAAUGAAGUUUGUGACGAGAAAGGGGGCCUCUAUUAUCAAACUGAGUAUCGGUCGAGAGCAGCGUCAUUUAACCAAUAAAUUCCUGUACUCCCAACACAUAUUGUCAUUAAGGAAACAAACAGGAAACUAAGAUAAAAUUAGGAAAAAACAAAUUUUAAUAACUACCAGCCCCUUUACAUCGUGAUCAAAUGGGCUUUUUUUACUAUAACAUACCAACAGCUAGCAAACAAAUAGGGGUCCAAAUGGUUGAGAAUCAAAACAGUGAAGAAACAUGAAGCUUUAACUCCGUAUUAACCACUUUUGCAUUUUUAAUCUUAUCUAGAGACACAAACUCACAUAUCAUCACUUAUUCUUUACCGUAAAUCAACAAAGGGAUGAUUGACAAUUCCAACCAAGCAGUUGCAUUAUUGUAUAUCAUGAACAGAAAGGUACUAAUCUCUUAUGCGAUCAUAUCUUGAAUGAAAAGGAGAAGAGAAUCAUUUAGCAAUCGAUGUUCAGAUGGAUAUUUUCCUUACUAGUUUGUGGAAAGCUGGCAGCCCAUUUGACAACAAAAUUAGUCGAUAAGUAAAUUUAGGCCAAAACCAAUCAUACUUCAUCUCGCAAACUCAAAGAAACUUCGGGCAGCCACAUAUUUGGCACACUUGACAUAAAGGUAGCAUAGUAAAGAUAUAAAAAGUUCACUUCACAAGCCUACCUUCACUUAUUUUUAUGAGAAAAGGAAAGUAUCGGAAUAAACCAAGUUCAAAGAGCCACGAACUUGUCAGAAGUUAAGGCCUCUUGGAACGAGAGCAAACUGAAAAGAACAAAAUACCAAAGCGCACCUAACGUAACACACAUCAAGAAAUUAAUAGGCAACAACAAACACCAAACUCAAAAUUAAUUAUUAUAUUAGAGAGUUAGAACUAAUAGAUCAAGGGAGAAAAUUUGGCGGAUUUUCCCAUCUUGUUUAAGGAAAAAAGAUAAGGCUGCAUAAAUCAUGAUUCUGCAUUAUUCUGGAUGCCCAUUUGUUAAGAGAACAAAAUAUAGUUAAAUCAAGUUACCAUUCCUAGAAGAUCCUAGUUAAUACCCGAUUUAUUCAUACUUGAAAUUGCAAAACAUAGGACUAACGCUUCCUUUCAUCAAAUAAACCAAUCAUACUCAAAACUAUGGUCUUAAAAGAGAGAAUAAUAAAAAAGGAGGAAGAGAAAUAGUACUUAGCACACGUAAUCGUAUGGACUUCCUAACAUUCUAAUCGAAGGGAUAUCAACAAAUCGAAACUGACCUGAUCCAAACGAUUGUUACCUAGAAGCUACUCAAACAAACAAUGAAAAAAAGAGCUAGAAGAUUACUUUAAACUCAUAAAUAAACUUCAAUCAAUGCUUCCGCUAAGACGAAAAAUACAGAACGAACUUCACAUUUUUUUGCCAAAUUCAGAAUCGAGACUUUAUCCUUGCACAAAACAGGAAAAAAAACUUAUUGUUAAUCAUUUGAAAAUGCUAAAUGCGUGCAUUAUGCAAGUUUGAAACAUCGACAACAGCAACCAUACAAGCCCAUCAACACUUGAAGCUUUUCAAUAUCAUAUCAAAAAAAUUAAACAAAAACUCUCAAAACAACAACAAAUGCACAUAUUUCAGUCAAGACCAGCCAUGUAACGAGUUGCCUAACUUGUUACAUCCAACAAAGAAUCGAAACAGCAACACAAUUUGUUUAACAAAUACUGAUUUCGAUAAAGAACGGUGUAGAAAGGGUGAAGUUUGUACCUUUUUGGGGGCAGUGAACUAGGGCGUUCUUGUCGGUGAUUCGAGCUCAUUCUUCAAGUGCAUACGAUGAAAGCGAUGAGAGUAAGCAAAGUGUAACCUGAAUCUCUUCAAUUCGAACUCGAAUUCGACUCCAAUUAAGAAAAUAAAGGGGGACCGAGAACUUGAUCUUUUUUCUCCUCUUCCUUAAUGAGUGAAUAGAGGGUUGUGUUUAUAGGCAAAAACUCAGAUCCAACUUCUUCCAGAAGCUAAGAAUUCAAAUUUCAAAACUAAGAAAGAGAGGGAAAAGGAGUAAAAGUUUUCAUCUUGAAGUGAUAGAGAAGACAAUUGUAGCUGUUGGCUCUGCAAAAGCCAAGAAAUCCACCGAUUUGCCGUGAUUGAAGAUGGAAGCUUGGUAUUGAAUUUCAACGUGAAGAAGAGCGAAUUCAGGGAUAUGUCGUGUUAUAUUGUCGAUGUUGAUGUUGCUGUUGUUGAACUUUUGCCCACUGUUUUGCUGAUAAAUCCGGUAUUUGGAGAAUGGGAAAUAGUAAUGGGCCGGGUCAAUUUUGGCCGAUUUGGGUUG
This 49569-nucleotide long non-coding RNA is filed under the name Capsicum annuum. Its description in RNAcentral is "long non-coding RNA (CANN_LNC016347)". Lineage: Eukaryota; Viridiplantae; Streptophyta; Magnoliopsida; Solanales; Solanaceae. The record is from RNAcentral.